Molecule: long non-coding RNA, 47775 nt
Filed under: Malus domestica (apple)
Lineage: Eukaryota; Viridiplantae; Streptophyta; Magnoliopsida; Rosales; Rosaceae
Description: long non-coding RNA (MDOM_LNC017353)
Source: RNAcentral
GGGAGGCCAAGGUACCGUAUACAAAGGAAUGUUAGCGAAUGGGAAGAUCGUUGCUGUGAAGAAGUCGAAAAGUGUAGUUAGUGGGGACGAAGUGAGACAAUUCAUCAAUGAAAUUGUCAUUCUCACAAGUUAUUCAAAAGAAUGUGGUUAAAUUAAUGGGUUGCUGUUUGGAGACUGAAGUACCCCUUUUGGUUUACGAGUUUAUACACAAUGGAACACUCUCUCAUUAUAUUCAGCACCAGAAUGAGGAGUUUCCUCUUACAUGGGAAAGGCGGUUACGAGUUGCAACCGAAGUUGCAGGUGCACUAUCAUACUUACACUCGGCAGUUUCCCGUCCUAUUUACCACCGAGACAUCAAGUCUUCGAACAUACUGUUGGAUGAUAAAUACAGAGCCAAAGUGGCAGACUUUGGGACAUCAAGAUCUGUCGCCAUUGACAAAACACACCUUACCAUGACACAGGUAAAUGGAACAUUCGGUUAUUUGGACCCGGAGUACUUUCAGACUAGCCAAUUUACGGACAAGAGUGACGUUUAUAGCUAUGGAGUGGUCCUUGUUGAGCUAUUGACAGGAAAAAAACCAAUUUUUAAGACAGAGUCACAAGAACCCAUGAGCCUAUCACAUUAUUUUCUUCUUUCCAUGGACGAGAAUCGUUUGUUCGAUAUUCUUGAUGCCCGAGUUGUGAAAGAUGCCAGGAAGGAAGAGAUCAUGGUAGUUGCUGAUCUUGCAAAACGUUGCUUGAAUUUGAAUGGAAAAAAGCGUCCUACCAUGAAAGAAGUAGAAGUGGAGCUGCAGGGAAUUCAAUUGCCAGUGAAAGAUUUUGAUGUCCAACAAAAUUUUGACGUUGAUCAUGUCCAGACUCGAAUGAACGAGGUUUGGGAUGUUGAUUCGGCAUCGACCCAUGAACCUAGCACAUUAUUUUCUUCACCAUUUGAUGAGGAGCAGCUUUUGUUUAUCAGGACAGAGUGAAAAAUAAAUGUUGUUUUUAUUGCGAUCUGUGUAUUAGAUGUAGGGCUAGUAUGAGAUUGUUGUACUAUUUACAAAUCUUCCUAGCAUUACCCUUAAAAAAAAAAAAGCUUCUGUUAUGCCUUGAGAAUAGUUAUGUGUAAAAUAAAACAGUUGAGGAUUUGAUAAACUUUAUUUUGAAAAGUGUUUAGGGCUGCUUUUGUUCAAAAAAAAAAAAAAGUAGUGAGUUACUUAUUUUUAGGGUAUGAAUCUCAUAUUGGAGAAAAAAUGAUUUUAUUUAUGUUUUUAAGUAAUUAAGCUACUCUCCAUAUCGCCAAUUAAUUUUAGGAAACUUUAACGAAAAGCACCCGGUACUGUUCACUUUAACGAAAAACCACAUUUUUACACUAAAAAGUCAAUCCUAGUACUAUUCACUUUACCCUUUAUUUUGUCCUUAUUAUUAAAACUCAAAGUUUUCAAACCAUUUUCAUUAGUUUUCCUUUAAUUUUAUAAUAGAAUCUUAACUUUCUCAUGUAUAAAAACGUGAAUGAUAGAUUUUCAUUGGAUUUGGAUCCUAUCAUGAGCUAAGGGGGCUGGCUAAGCCUCCUGAGCAAAGAACAUGGACCAACGGCUACAAACAGGGGCCCUUCCAAAAGUUAUAAUAAUUGUAGUCGUUGAAUCAAAAUCCAACGGCCUGUGUUUUUUACUCAGGAGGCUCAGCCCCUUGAGCUCAAGAGAGGAUCCAAAUCCAUUUUCACUUACCGUUCCAAGAGAGUUUCAAGAUUACAGUGUAUUGUAUCCUUCAUGGAGACAAUCCUUCCUUAAAACUUACUAAUAGAAAAUAAUGUAUAGAUUAUUUACCCGUAUGUAUCUCUUUCCAUUCACCCCUUAUUUUUGUAAUGUUCUAAGAAAGUGGAAAGUAAUGAAAAAGCUUAGGACAUAAUGUCUUAUCCAAUAUUAUUAAUCAAGUAGUGGCUUAUGAGACACUGCCUACAAGCAGUGGCGGAUCCACAGUGGGGUCAAUGGGGUCGCACGACCCCUUGGAAGCCAUGGAAACAACCUUAGAGACCCCUUGGAGCUGCUGGUGCGACCCCUUGGCUGCACACCAAGUGUUCGACGAAAGGUCUGAAAGAACUCCAUGGUGAAAUUGUACGGAUUUGUAUCCACCAUGAAGGAGGGAAGGUCUCGGCUUGUGAAAGAUAAUGGCAAACCUGGUAAUUCUAUUGGACAUGGAAGGACAUUGUUUGUACCAGAACUAGUAUUAUCCCGGAUGAGAUCUUUGUACCCGUUAAAGUAAUAGUAGUAGAUGUCGAAAACCGUGGCUGGCUGAAUCCAAAGCAGCACGCGUGGGAGGUGAAGUUCAUGUGCCAUCCCUGCCGACCAAGGGAGAAGUAAUGAGUAGACUAGGCAAGUGUAAGGGUGACCCUCGUUUGCACUUGCGACUACAAGGUCGGUGAUGGCUUGUGCUUCGUGGUGCCGCAACUCCGACAUGUAGUGGUCGAUGUUGUCACCGGGCUUAAACCCGUCAUCGUACCCAUCAGAGAAGGGCGCAUAAGUCAAUCCAUCUGGAAUUGAGCCAUUGCCUAUGUGAUGAUGAGCUGAGAGACUGGUAACGAAGGUGACAUGCGCACCUGUAGUGUUGAUUAUUAACUCUGAGAAAUAUAGCUAUGAGAAAAUGAAUAAGAAGAACAGAAGCUUAAGAGACGGAGAGUUUCUGAAUUCUUUGUAUUAUUCUAUAUGAAACUAUUACAAGUGUUUACAUUGUGUUAUAUAGCCUCUCAGCAUACAUGGACUAUUACAAAACUACCCCUUUGUAACUAACUCUCUAACAAUCCAAAUGGCAGUUAUAACCAAUCAACAGAAUAACAGAUAACAAUGGCUAAUACUCCCCCCUCAAACUAUGCUAGGUUUCAUCUAGCACAGUUUGGAAAGACAAAACACAACUCUGUGCCAUUGUACAAGGGAAUUAACUCGGGACUGAAGUACUGGAAAUUGCAGAUUGGGAUCCUAGGCUCAAGUUGUGACAAUGCUUCACAAAAACAGGACUAUGUAAUCCUUUAGUUAGGACAUCAGCAACUUGCUCUUCUGUAGAAAUGUAUUGAACACGCAGAUCACCUUUUUGUACUUUCUCCCUCACAAAGUGAUAAUCAGUAUCGAGAUGUUUGAUCUUAGAAUGAAAAACAGGAUUCGAACAUAGAGCAAGUGCGGAUAAGUUGUCACAAUAAAGAGAAGGAGGUGAGGGAAGACACUGAUGUAGAUCUCUAAGCACUGAUCUAAUCCAACAAACAUCAGCUGCACAGUAAGCUAUUGCCUUAUAUUCUGCUUCGGUUGAGCUUCUCGAGACAGUGGAUUGCUUUUUGGACUGCCAUGAGAUAGGAUUAGAGCCUAAGUAUACCACAUAUCCGGUAAUUGAUCUCCUAGUAUUAAUAUCUGCUGCCCAGUCUGAAUAUGAAUAGGCAGCUAUAGAAAUAUCUUCACUUUUAGUAUAGUUCAAACCACAAGUGAGAGUACCUUGUAAAUACCUCAGAAUUCUCUUGACCAAAUGAAAGUGUGAAUCUGUUGGACUUUGCAUAAACUGACACACCAUAUUCACUGCAUAAGCUAUAUCAGGUCUAGAGAAGGUUAAGUACUGUAAAGCUCCCACCAAGCUUCGAUAGAGAGUAGGAUCUGUCAUUGGUAUGCCUUCAGAUUCAAGCAACUGAGUAUGAGGUUUAGAGGGUGUAGAUGUAGGUUUACAAUGUUCCAUACCAGCCCUUUUUACAAAUCUCGUGCAUAUUUAGACUGGUUAAUGAAUAUAGAUCCAUCCUGAUUGUACUGGAUAUGAAGACCAAGAAAAUAGGUAAGUUUUCCCAUAUCUUUAAGAUCAAAUACUGCAGCAAGGCUUGUAAUCAUUGAUUGAAUCUUUGAAGCAUUAGAACCAGUCAUAAUUAUGUCAUCAACAUAUAAUAGGAGUAGAAUAACAUCCCUAUGAUCUUCUUUGACAAACAAACUUGUAUCGGAUAAGGAUGUAACAAACCCCAAAGUAGGAAGGUAGCUAGUAAACUUUGAAUUCCAAGUGCGUGAAGCUUGUUUCAAGCCAUAAAGCGACUUUAGUAAUUUGCAAACAUGGUUUGGAUGUUGUGAGUCAACAAACCCCUGAGGCUGCUUCAUAUAGACUUCCUCUUCUAACUCCAUGUAAGAAGGCGUUUUUAACAUCUAGUUGCCUCAAACACCAACCAAAUUGAACUGCUAAGGCUAAAAUCAUUCUGACAGUGGUAUGUCUUACCACCGGACUAAACGUUUCAGAAUAGUCCAAACCUUGCUCUUGGCUAUACCAUUGUGUAACUAGCCGAGCCUUAUACCUAGAAAUUGAUCCAUCAGGGUUCUUCUUAAUUUUGUAUACCCAUUUGCUUCCCACUAUACUUCUGUCAACUGGAGGAGGAACUAAACACCAAGUUCCUUGUGCCUUUAAAGCAUCAAACUCAUCCUGCAUAGCUCUUUGCCAUUCAGCCUUGACACUAGCAGUUUUAAAAUUUUUAGGCUCCUCUAUAUCAGCUAUAUCAGCUAAGAAUGAAAACCCGCUGGAAAAAUCAUCCAUAACCCCCAAAGAAGCAAUCUCAGGAACAUUUGCUAAAUAUGCUGCAUAAUUCUUUCUGGAAAGUGCACCGGUUUGUAGCCUUGUCUGAAUUGUAGAACUUUGACGCACAGGAGUAGUUGUGGUUGUAUGUCCUAUACCUGAUUGAGAAGAAUUUGAAGAGAGUGGAAGUAUCACCUGAAGUUGGUUGGGACUAAAGACAGGAAGCAAAGAAGAUGUAUCACUUGUUAUGGAAAGAGUAUGGCCCGAUGUACUGUGACUGUGCGAAUGUCCUGAGGUUGAACUUAAUGUCUCAGAUUGAUCAACUAAAGACGAAGCAAUUCCAUCAUUCCCACUGUAUAUCUGAGUAACUUCAGGAGGACUAGGAGUAUGAGUAACAGGAACAUGAACCAAAAUUGGAGAAUAUGUAGCCGGUGGAUUAUCAACCUGUGCAUGAACUUGUUUCUGUAACCUGUGUUUACCAGGGAACAUCAUCUCAUCGUGUAAGACAUGUCGAGAAAUAAUGCAUUUCUUGGACACUAGAUCAUAACAUAUGACACCUUUGUAUCCUGAAGAGUACCCGAGAAAAACACAUAAUGUUGAUCUUGGUUGAAGCUUAUUAGAAUUAUAAGGCCUAAGCCAAGGAAACACAGCAGUUCCAAAUGUCUUCAAAGAUGUUAAGUCAGGAAGUGUCUUGUAGAGCAGAGUAUAAGGAGAUACCAUAGACAGAGAUUUACAUGGCAUUCGGUUGAUAAGAAAUACUGAGUGAGCACAAGCAAAAUACCAAAACUCCAAUGGUAAACCAGCAUUAGUGAGUAAUGUAAUUGAAGUUUCAAUUAUAUGCCGGUGUUUUCUCUCAGCAAUUCCAUUUUGCUGAGGAGUAUAUGGACAUGACAGCAUCUGAACAAUCCCUCUAUUAUUCAAAAACUUUGUAAAAGCACUACUAAUGUACUCUCCACCCCCAUCAGUUUGUACACACUUGAUUGUUGUUCCAUACUGAUUUAAUACAAACUGAUAAAACUUUACAAAAAUAGAAAAGACAUCAGAUUUAUUACUCAUUGGAAAUACCCAAGUGUAUCUUGUACAUUCAUCAGUAAACAGUACAUAAUACCUAUAGCCAUGAACAGACUUUAUAGGAGACGGUCCCCAAACAUCAGAGUGAAUCUUAUCAAACGGAGACAGACACUUUUCAUUUCUCUCAGGAAAUGGCAAUCUAGACAUUUUGCCCUGUAUACAUGAUGCACAAACACUCUUCAUAUCAUCUGGUUUAUAUGCUAUACUACACUGUCUUAACAUACAAGAAAGUACUUCAUUUGUAGGGUGACCCAAUCUUUGAUGCCACAUAUUUGACUUCACCAAUUGUCCAAGCAAAGCUGUUGUAGUGGGAAAUGUAGACUGCACCCCUUUAGCAUUGUGAAACACUGGAAUCUGAAACAACUCCUUGGGCCUACUCUUUCCGUGAUACAGGACCUCCUUUGUCUUCUUGUCCUGUAAAAAGAAGUUGGACUCAUCACAAAUAAACCAACUGUUGUUAUCAGCACAUAUUUGUUUAACAGAUAACAAACUUCGAGCAAUCUUUGGAACAUGUAAAACAUGAGUGAGUAAUAAGGAAUGAUCCUUCGUAUGAAGAGUAGUAGAACCAGUAUUUUUUAUUGAUAUACUAGAACCAUUACCAAUAGUAAUUGUCUCAUUGCCUUCAUAUGGAGCAACCUGUGCCAAGCCAUGAACAUCAGCAGUCAUGUGAUGAGAAGCACCAUAAUCCACGAUCCAUGAAUCUGUAGGCAUAAACUGAGAUGAUUGUUGUGCAUUCAUAGCAGUUAUGGAAGAUGGAGGAGAUUGACUUUGAUACGAGUAGUUGCUUCUGUGAUGACAGUUAAGAGCAACAUGACCCUUCUUCCCACAAAUUUGGCACUCAAUCAAAAAACCAGGAGUUGAAUUGGUGUUGUUCCUGUGAAAACAAUUUACUGCUGUAUGACCUCGUUUGUUGCAGAUUUGACAUUCAAUUACUACAUUAAUCCUUGUGUCUGUAUUGCCCGACCAACCACUGUUAUUGGAGUUCUGCCUAUAUCCUCCAGAAUUGAAACUCUUCCCCUUGUAACCAUUAUUGGACCUAUAAUUGUGUUGACCCUUGGAAUUCGAGCCAUUGAAAGGUCUAAACCCAGAAUUUGUUCUUGUAUCUGAAUGAGAACCAGAAUUUCCAAAGAAACCAAAACCAUAUGGUACAUGAGGAUAAAAUCCGUCAGGAGGUUGUUGUGUAGAAUAGAACUGAGAGGACUGCAUCUUAGGUUGAAACUGUGAUGACAAUGGAUACUGCAAUGUCCCAUUAAAAGGAACCCGUGACAAAACACCACCAGUAGAACCAGAAAUGUGACUAUGAUUCUGUGGAUUAGAAGAAGAACCAUUGACCAUUGAAGAUCCAGGAUUUGUACCAGUCCCUUUCAUACAAGGCUGACAAACUUUGAGACAACACAUUGAUUUCACCAUCAAUUUCCUUUUCAGCACCAAGAAGUUGUGCUCUGAACUCUUUGAGAGUAAUUGAUGACUCUCUAGCAAGAAUAACCGUUCUGAUUAUUGCAUAUUCUUUUGGUAACCCAGCCAAUCCUGCAAUUAUAACAUCAUUGUCCGAGACAUACUCCCCUGCAGCACUUAACUGCUCUCUAAUAUUUUUCAAUCUCAGCAAAUACUUAUCAAUUGAGUCAGUUCCCUUUUGUAUAGUAUGCAGUUCAGUCUUUAGAUGAUUCACUCGUGAUUUUGAUACAGAGGCAAACCUAUCGACAAGAUUCACCCAAGCCUCAUGAGCAUUCUUGCAGCUAAGAACAUACUCCAUCGCUUCAUCAGACAAUGUGGCAAGCAAAAGACUUAACAAAGCCAUAUCAGUUGACUCCCAAUCAAUAUACGCUUUAGUAACUUCUUCAGUAACUCCAAGAUCAGUAGUCAAAACAAACUUCGGGGGACACACAUCAGUGCCAUCAAAAUGACCAAACAAUUUAUACCCCUUCAACACAGCUUUAAACUGAAAUGCCCAUUUGACAAAAUUAUCAUCCUUCAAUCUGAUAGUAAGCAUCCCCAACAAAUUUUCUACUUUAACAGUCGGAUUAGUCAUCUUAACACAGAUCACAAAGACACACAAUUCCAAUUAUGUAAUGAACAGGAAGAAAUUAACACUCCUUGCAAUUGAAACAGACUACAAGACUUCAAAGAGACUGAAACUCUUGACCAAGAAAGAUCGAUACUUCCCAAAAUGCACAAGAAAAAUACCACUGUUCGAAGAGACUGAAACUCUUUCCCAAAAUUCACAAGAAAAAUACCACUGUUCGAAGAGACUGAAACUCUUUACCAAGAAAGAUUAAAACUUUCCAAAACGAACAAGAAAGAAUGAAACUUUCUCAAAUAUGCUGACUGCACAAGUAUUUCUGCAUCAUAACCUUAUGAACAUUUGACUAUACAAUCAAUCAGCAAAAUUUUUCAAACUUUACACCGAACACUGUCUUCAAGAAUCUCAAAAAACAAAAAACCAAUACCCAUGAUCAAAAUUAGCUCCAAUCAUCGAAAGAAAAAUAUCACCUGAAUCAAGCUCAACAAUCGAGGAACACACCCAACUUCAAUAGCCUUCCGUAACCUUCAGAAUCGUACUCGAGCCCUUUGAACUUGUACACAACAGCUUCAAUCUUCCAGAGCAGCGGAAAAAACACCAAGAAUCGGCACGGCGACGAACCAAACCGGCGAUGAUACCAUAUUAACUCUACGAAAUAUAGCUAUGAGAAAAUGAAUAAGAAGAACAGAAGCUUAAGAGACGGAGAGUUUCUGAAUUCUUUGUAUUAUUCUAUAUGAAACUAUUACAAGUGUUUACAUUGUGUUAUAUAGCCUCUCAGCAUACAUGGACUAUUACAAAACUACCCCUUUGUAACUAACUCUCUAACAAUCCAAAUGGCAGUUAUAACCAAUCAACAGAAUAACAGAAUUGAUAAGGUGCUUGGCGUAUUGGAGGGAAGGGUUGAUGUGGCCUUGAGCCGGAUAUGUGACAAGUAGAAAGCGGUGUUGCACCAUGGCAGCACAUGUGAUUGCGGAGGUGCGCGGUGGAGCGUGGAGUUGUUGGAAGUAGAAUAAGUAGACUCGAUGAAAUGACGAUAUGCAUGUCGUUUUUGUUAAAAAAAAUUUGCGCGCUGCGCGCGCUAUCCUUAUUGACCCCUCAAACAUUAUUUCCUGGAUCCGCCACUGCCUACAAGUAACUAUUUCAACAAGAAUCCAUGGCGGUCAUGUGCACAAAGCAUACACUGAAGCAAUUAACAAUAUUAAAUGCUAAAGUGUUAAAAAGGAUUAAAUAUACUGAAGCAUUUUUAGGUGAUUCCUCUCUGUGUGCCCAACUGUCCUACAAAUUAAUCAGCACAACAGUUUACCUACAUAAUAUAGAAUUAUUGCAGCCGCCUCUUAAAUAAUCAACUGGAAGAAGAGGUUUGCAUCCAUCCCUGGUGACCUCCUUCUAGAGAGAUUCUUUUUCAUGUACAUAAAAUAUAAACUAGUACACCCCGUGUCAUAAUAUAAAUAGAGAUAAGAUUAUAUUAUUCAAUGCCUUUCAUUUGUAAUAUGACACGUAAUUGAUGUACGCAUCGGCUUAUGUUCCAAGUAUAUUGAAAAAUCUCUCUUCCCUUUGACCAACAAAACAAACCUCCCUCUUGUCACGCCAAAUAAAAUAAACGACCCGACCCAAACAUUGUGCUUCCUUUGAAAGUUCAAGCCCUUCAGGGGUUUAGGUUUUGUUUAGGGUUCAGGAUUCAUGGAUUUUAAAUUUAUAUUCCCUCUAAUCAGGGGUAACUUGUUUCUCUCAUUCAUCAAUAAAAUCUCUGGUACCAAGGGUAUUGGAGAUUUGAAGGCUAAUAAAUGAAAAGUCUGAGUCGAGAAAAUCAGAUUCGACCUAUGUAACCAUUUGUUAUGAGAUAUUUUUGGGGGUGACAGGAACUCUUGCUAACUUGAAGUUUCACCAAUUAGGUCUUGACAUCUGUGCAUUUAAGGUUGAAUUUACACCAACAGUCUGGCCCACCUUUAAAGCAAUUAAAAAACUUAAUAUUUAAUUAAAUUAGUACCGGUGCCUCUCUCUCUUCCAUCUUCCUCUGCCGUCUGGGUAUGGCAGACAGGAAACCAAGCAUUUUCCGACUAAGGGGUCACCAGCACUUGCACCAAAAUUUCUAUCGUCCACCCAACAACCAUAUCAUGCCCACCACCAUGAACACCCACGAAAGCUCCAGCCUCUAUCACACCGCUAAAAUCUCAAUUUGGCACCAUCAUCUUCUUCUAUCAUGUUGCUUCAUCAUCAUGAUUUGAAGACGUCGGUUCUUGAUCACCAGGAGAAAGGUGGGAUGAUUAGGGGAUGAUGACACGGUGGGCCAAAACACCGGGCGACGGUGGUGGAUGUCGGGGGCUGAGAGGAAUUGGAGGGUAAUGAUUAGAAGGUUGGGGAAGGGCCUGGAGAAUGAGGUUUAUUUAUUUUUAAAUAAAAAAAAAUUCAUUUAUUGAUUAUUCUAUAAAAGAUAAAAUUAUUUGGCUUUAGUGGGACAUAUGGCGUUAUUGGAUUGGAAGGGGACACCACCUACAUUGCUGAGGUGUGCACUCCCAUCACUCCCAAAAAUUUCUACAUUGUUAUAAUACAAGAGAUUUUUGCUGCUUUGUCUACAAGUUGGGAGGGAGAGAGCUAGCUGGAGACAAGAGUGCGAGCUGUGAAUGGUGCAAAAUUAGGGCUGACUCGUUUCGCGGGGACAAGGAACGAAGACAAUAGGGAAAGAAAGGAGGGUAGAGUUGUCGUUUAGAAAGUUUCAUUAAUGCGCACUAUUCACUCCGCCUCCUCCCAAAAAACAGCGCUCUUUUUAAAAGUGUGAUCUCACCUGCUUCCUAAGGUUUUUGAUCCAUGAUUUUUAAAACACAAUUAAUUCUCUUAAGGAAAUUUUCAUGAAAAUGAUUUGGGCUAAGUUUAUUUUAACAAAAAAUCAUGUUAUAACUUUAUUUAAUGAAAAGACUUAAAUUUUAAUGAAAAAAUCUUAAAUUUGAAUAAAAAUAACAAAAAAAAAAACUUAUAAAGGGUAAAAGACUGUUUAAUACCCUCAUGUUUUGUGGUUUUCAACAUUUAGUAUAUCAAGUUUUUUUCGUCUCAGAAUCAUAUAUAAAGUGUAAAUUUUGGGACAGUCUUAUAUGUCCGUUAGUCAAACUGUUAAUUCUCCCGUUAACUGUGAUGUGGCGCCCAUGUGGACAAUGACUGAGCGGCACAUGUCAUCCAUGUGGAAAUUAAAAAUAAAUUAUUUAUAAAAUAAAAAAAUUAUAUAUAUAUUAAAAAAAACAUUCAUCUUCCCUAGAUUCGGAGGAAGAGGAAGAAGAAGAAGAAGAAGAAGAAGAAGGAGAAGGAAGAAGAAGGAAGAAGGAGAAGAAGGGGAAGGAAGAAGAAGAAAAAAAAAAGUUGUAGUCGGAAGAAGAAGAAGAAGAGAUUCGGAGGAAGAAGAAGAAGAAGAAGGAAGAAGAAGGAAGAAGGAGAAGAAGGGGAAGGAAGAAGGAGAAGGAGGAAGAAGAAAAAAAAAGUUGUAGUCGGAGAGGAAGGAAGAAGGAGGAAGGAGAAUGAAGAAGGAGGAAGAAGAAAAGAAAAAAAAACCCUUCAUUUUCCCCAGAAUCGGAGGAGGAAGAAGAAGAAGAAGGCAGAAGGAGAAGAAGGGGAAGGAAUGAGGAAGGAAGAAGGAGAAGAAGGAGAAGAAGGAGGAAGAAAAAAAAAAGUUGCAGUUGGAGGAAGAAGAAGAAGGAGGAAGGAGGAAGAAGAAGAAAGAAGAAGAAAAAAAAACCGAAUCUGCAAUCCAGAUUUGGAGGAAGAAGAAGAAGAAGAAGAAAGAAGAAGUAGGAAGGAGAAGGAGGAAGAAGGAAAAAAAAACCUUCAUCUUCCCCAGAUUCGGAGGAAGAAGAAGAAGAAGAAGAAGGAGAAGGAAGAAGAAGGAAGAAGGAGAAGAAAGAGGAAGAAAAAAAAAGUUGCAGUCGGAGGAAGAAGGAGGAAGAAGAAGAAAGAAGAAAAAAAAAACCGAAUUUGCAACCCAGAUUCGAAGGAAGAAGAAGAAGAAGCAGAGGAAGGAAGAAGGAGGAAGAAGGAGGAAGAAGAAAAAAAAAAACCUUCAUCUUCCCUAGAUUCGGAGGAAGAAGAAGAAGAAGAAUAAGAAGAAGAAGAAGAAGGAAGAAAAAGGAAGAAAGGAAGGAAGAAGGAGAAGGAGGAAGAAAAAAAAAAGUUGUAGUCGAAGGAAGAAGAAGGAAGAAGAAGGAGGAAGAAGGAGGAAGAAGAAGAAAAAAAAAAAAAAAGGUCGUACCCGAUGCACAAGGCUCCCGCUUUACGUAGGGUCUGAGAGAGGUGAAUGUCGGCUAGCUUUACCCCCAUUUAUGGAGAGGCUGCUCCCAAGUCUCGAACCCGAGACCUACCGCUCAUGGGCGAAGAAAGAAGAAGGAAAAAAAAAUGUGGAUGACACGUGGCGCCCAUCCAUUGUCCACAUGAGCGCCACGUCACAAUUAACGGUAGAUAUAACAGUUUGAUUAACGGAUGUAUAAGACUGUCCCAAAAUUUACACUUUAGGUAUAUGAAAAAAACUUGAUGUACUAAAUGUUGAAAACAACGAAACAUGAUGAUAGUAAAUAGUCUUUUACCCUAAAUUUUAAUUGAAAAAAACAUAAUUUUAUUGAUAUGAAUUGAUGAAUAGAAUCGUUGAUUAUUGAUGAUCUGAAUUAUUGAUUAUUGAUUAAUUGAAUUAUUGAUUAUUGAAUAAUUUAUACGAUAAGUAAUAUUGAUUAAUUGAAUUUUUUUUAUUGGAUAACUUAUAUGAUUAUUGGUAUUGAUUAAUUAAAUUGUUGGUUUACUUAGUUAUUAGUCAUAUAUUAUACUCUACUCUAGGGUUACGAGUCUAAGACUUUUUCUUCUCAUUAUACAGUUAUUUAAUAAAACGAUAAUAUAAGAAACAAUGCUUAAAUUCUUCUUCAAAUAUUCUAAGUAGUCAUCCUUCGAAUAUUUUGGGUAGUCAUCCUUCAAAUAUUAACCACCUAAUUAUCGCGAAUCAAUUCAUAGACACUAUCUCUAAAAUGAUCAUUGUCAACCUAAAAUCCACAUCAUGCCAAAAAAAAUUAGUGACAAUCGAUGUUUUAUGUUUCUCUGUCAUUGAAAUGCAGAUAUUGAUGAAUGCAAAGAUCCAAAUAGAUGCGGUUUCGGCAACAUUUGUAACAAUAUACGGUUGUGUCGUUUGAAUGCCCUUCACCUGCACGACCAUCACGGGUUAAUGUGGCCGUCAUAGGUACAGUGUUGCUCUCUUCAAAUCCAAAAACAAAGAUAACCUGUUUUUAUGGCAGCUGGUAUUAGCAUUUCCAGUGUUGUUCCUCCAUUACACAACUUUUUUUGUUUCAACCCAUCCCUGCAUUACUUAGAUUAUAUAUAAGAAGGAACAAUAAUAUCUGUCCAAUUUAAUUUUUUCUUCCAAUUGAGCUAUCAGUUACCAACUGCAUUGUUGGCCUACUGUUUAUACACAUUGGAGCAUGGUGGUCGCACAAAGUCAAAGUGAAAAGGAAAGACACCAACCGCAAGCAGAAGUUUUCUAAACGAAUGUUGGGGCAGCAAUUAUCUUCCGGUUAAGCUAACGUUGAUAAAAAUAAAUUGUUCAGUGCAGAGCAGAUAGAAAACGCCACGGAGCAUUUCAGUGUAGAGAGAAUUCUUGGUCAGGGAGGCCAAGGUACCGUAUACAAAGGAAUGUUAGCAAAUGGGAAAAUCGUUGCUGUCAAGAAGUCGAAAAGUGUAGUUAGUGGAGACGAAGUGAGACAAAUGAAAUUGUCAUUCUGUCACAAGUUAUUCAAAAGAACGUGGUUAAAUUAAUGGGUUGCUGUUUGGAGACUGAAGUACCCCUUUUGGUUUACGAGUUUAUACACAAUGGAACACUCCCAUUAUAUUCAGUACCAAAAUGAGGAGUUUCCUCUUACAUGGGAAAUGUGGUUACGAGUUGCAACCGAAGUUGCAGGAGCACCAUCAUACUUACACUCGGCAGUUUCCUGUCCUAUAUACCUCUUCGAACAUACUGUUGGAUGAUAAAUACAGAGCCAAUGUGGCAGACUUUGGGACAUCACGAUCUGUCGCCAUUGACAAAACACACCUUACGUACCAUGACACAGGUAAAUGGAACAUUCGGUUAUUUGGACCCGCCUAUCACAUUAUUCUCUUCUUUCCAUGGACGAGAAUCGUUUGUUCGAUAUUCUUGAUGCCCGAGUUCUGAAAGAUGCCAGGAAGGAAGAGAUCAUCGUAGUUGCUAAUCUUGCAAGACGUUGCUUGAAUUUGAAUGGAAAAAAGCGUCCUACUAUGAAAGAGGUAGAAGUGGAGCUGCAGGGAAUUCAAUUGUCAGUGAAAGAUUUUGAUGUCCAAACUCGAGUAAACCAGGUUUGGGAUGUUGGUUCGGCAUCAACACAUGAGCCUAGCACAUUAUUUUCUUCUCCAUUUGACGUAGAUCCGGUUUUGUUUAUCACGACAGAGUGAAAAAUAAAUGUUGUUUUCAUUAUAAUAUUCUGUAUGUAUUAGAUGUAAUGCUAGUUUGGAAUUGUUGUGCUAUUUAAAAAAAAAAAGAAGGCUUUUGUUAUGCAUUGAGAAUAAUCAUUUGUAAAAUAAAACAGUUGAGUAUUUGAUAAACUUUAUUUUGAAAAGUGUUGUGAGUAAUAAAUCAAUGGAAAAAAUGCAUUUUGAAUGUAAAAGUAGUACAAUUUUGUAUAAAGACGAAAAUAGACAUAACAGUCACCUAAUAUUUGUUGAGUAUGAGGGCUGCUAAAAUGUACUAUUUUUAGGAUAUGAAUCUCACAGUAGAGAAAAAUGACUUUAUAUGUGUUUUUAAGUAGUUGAACUACUUUUUAUAUCACCAAUUAAUUUUAUGAUAGAGUCUUAACUUUUUUUACGUAUGUGUAGAAAUGUGAACGAUAGAUUUUAACCUACCCUUCCAGGAGAGUUUCAAGAUUACAAUGUAUAGUAUCCUUCAUGGAGACAAUCCUUCCUCAAAACUUACUAACAGAAAAUAAUGUAGAGAUUAUUUACAUGUAUAUAUCUCUUCUCUUUUUUUUGUUGUUGACGAGAAUGAUUUGCAAUAGAAAGUAGGAGGUACCCAGCAAGAAAUACAUAGGGGAGGCCGAGGACCUAAGGAUGGAAAAAGAAGACUAGGAGCGCAGCUCCAGUCACCACCAAUAGGACCCCAGAAUCAAUUAACUACUCUAGUGGUGACAUGGAAUACUAUCAAUGGAUAGGAUAUGAAUUAGAGCGGAUGGGGGUCUGGGGACCCAGACUUCCGAACACAUCCCUCUAUUACAAUGCGAGGCAACCCAAUCGGUUGCAGAAUAAAAGGGGGGACUUCUGCAUCGGGCCAUGCCACCCAAACCAACUUAGGGAAGUCACAUUUGUCCCAUCGCAAGCACCUACAAUGUCAUGAUCACAUUGGUUUACCCUUUUUUUUCUUUGGUAGUUCAACGGACGGUCGCCCCUCCAACAAGAAAGGGUAUAAAUAUAGAAACUUCUUUGCCAUUUGGAUUGGAGAAUUUAUGGAGGAAAUCGGCUUUUAAAUUUCCAGAAACCAAACGAUUAUAUAGCCAAAGGGAAUACGCCGCGCCUAAAAUCAUCCCAAGCGCUGCUAAUGUGGCUACUAAGCUAUUUCUUUGGAAAGCUCCUACUAAGAUGGGAAAUUCCCCGAUAAAGUUGCUAGUACCGGGUGAACUCAUAUUGGCCAAAGUGGAAGAGAAGGAAAUGGUAGAGAGAUUCGGCAUGGUGCUCACUGAACCUCGUAAUAUCUAACAAGUCGAGUCUUAUGUCGGUCAUAUAGAACACCAACACAUAGAAAAAGGGCUGAAGGAACCAGUCCAUGACUUAACAUCGGUAGAAUGCUACCUCCAAUUCCCUGUAUGUUUUGAUAGAGCCAAAAAUUCUCCCUACUGAUCGGAGUACGCCGAUUACCCCCCGAACCAUACAAGAUAGUUACUGCCUAUCAUACGGCUUUCUAACUUCACUUUUUUUUAUAGUCGUUCCGUUCUAUCGAUCGAUGGUAGUAUAAGAGAUCCGUAACUCCCUAAAAUUAUUUACAUAAUGGUUCCUGCGUCCUACCCAUAAUUAGCAUGUAUCUCCCCAUGUCAUACUUGAGUAUCACGUCGUAGACCCCCACCCUAACUCUAUCUUCCUUAUCAGUGACCGGAAAUAGUGCAUAGGUACUAUUCAAUGCUGCGGGGACGAGAUGACGUGACAUACUACGAUCACGUACAGAAGUGCUGCCAUUCGGCUCGGCAAUAUGGAACCUCUCAACAACUCCCGUUCCUUUAUGAGGUCUUAUUGGGAUAGGUAGGCCCAAUCCUUUCCCCCUCCCUCCAUAAGACCCUAUUUCUCUUUCCCCCUCAAGAAAGAGAAAGAAGAGAAUCACUCAUUUUUUUUUCUUUUCUUUCAUGUGAACGACCCCUUCUUAUAUUGAAAGGUUUUGCGUGCUAUACACCACGCCACGUUGAGAAAGACCAGCCUUCUAUGUACCCUUUUUUUACCUUGAAAGGGAGGUCCUCCUUAUGAUGCUACGGACCGCUGUCCGAAGUGCAAAGGGCAAACUCGGACUCGGAUAGGAUAGGAUUGUGCGCGCCCGGCCCCUUGGGUGUCAUAUUUUGGCUGAGUUUACCGUACCCCCUGCCCUUAUGUUACGCGACAGUAAUAUUUUGUUACGUUCCACCGCUGUUACGCCAGAAAUAAAAGGUUCUGCAUUGAAUCAAAACAGUGAUUAUUCUUGUAUUGAAUGGAUUCGAAGAAGAUGAUGAAAUUGGAAAAUGGUUUCUACUCACUCUCUACAAGUUGUAGAGAUACUUCUUUUGAUUUCUGAUAUCUCUCUUAUCUUCUUUCUCACAAAAGUCGUGAGAUAAGGAAAACAUAAACUAUUAGGGACUGUUGGAUCUAUUCUCACUCUCAGAUUAGAUCACAGCCACACAUCUAACAAGUAAUCAAAACAUAAGAAAUUCACAUGGCUCUCAUGGCCUUUUACAAAACAAAACCUUUACACUUGGCAUUCUAAGCACAAGUGGAUACACCAUUUGAAAACAUAAAAACUUAUUUUAUCAGCUCAUAACUUAUAAUUCAACACUCCCUUUAAGUUUUGAGCUGAUUUCACAUCGAGCAUAUCUCUGAGAUAGUUGAACCGAUCCUUGGUUAAGGCUUUAGUGAAGAUGUCUGCAACUUGCUCAUUUGUUGGACAAUACACUAAGUCAAUUACCCCUUAUUGUAGUGCAUCCUUGAUGAAGUGAUACCUUCUGUCAAUGUGUUUGGUUUUCUGAUGAAACACUGGAUUAUUAGUGAUUGCGAUUACAACUGUAUUGUCACAGUGCACUGGGGUUGCUUCGGUUUGUAAUUCACCAAAGUCUUCAAGGACAAACCUAAGCCAAAUAGCUUGAGCAGUUGCCUCAGAAGCACUGAUAUACUCAGCUUCUGCAGUGGAGAGAACUACACAAUUUUGUUUCACUGAAGCCCAUGAAAACACCCCACUACCAAAAGAGAAAGCAUAUCCAGAAGUGCUUUUACUGUCAUCAACUGAUCCUCCCCAAUCACUAUCACAAAACCCAAUUAGCAUUGCAUUCUUUCCCUUUACAUACUCCAUGCCAUAAUCCAGGUUGCCUUUAAUGUAUCUUAGCACUUUUUUAGCAAUACCAAAAUGCUUAUUUGUGGGACUGUGCAUGAACAUAUCAAGGGGACUGGCAACAUACAUUAUAUCUGGUUGAGUGGUAGUAAGAUAUAGCAAGUUUCCCAUAAUUAUUCUAUAUUGUUCCUCACUUGCUGAUCCACUACCAUUAUUUUUACACAACUUAUCUGAUGGGACAAGAGGUGUGAAUACAGAUUUGCACUCACUUAGACCAAAUUUAUUCAACAGAGAAGCAGCAUACUUUCUUUGGUGAAUAAAAAUACUAUAGUGAGUUUGAAUAAUUCCCAUGCCAAGAAAAUGAUGAAGAAGACCCAAAUCAGUCAUUUCAUACUUGACCAUCAUAUCCUCCUUGAAUUCUUUCAACAGAUCAUUGCUAUUUCCUGUAUACACUAUGUCAUCCACAUAAAUUGAAACAAUCAGAAUUUCAUCUCCCAUUGCUUUGGUGUAGAGAGUAGCCUCACUGAGACUCUUCAUAAAACCACACUGUGCGAGGUAAGUGUCAAUCUCUCCAUACCAGGCUCUAGGUGCCUGUUUGAGACCAUAGAGAGCUUUAUGAAGUUUAUACACUUUGUCUUCUUUCCAUGUGAUCACAAAUCCAUUAGGUUGUUCUACAUAUACCUCUUCUUCCAAAACACCAUUCAGAAAGGCAGAUUUUACAUCAAGCUGAUAUAGUUUCCAACUCUUUUGUGCAGCCAAAGCAAUAAGAGUUCUGAUUGUAUCCAACCUAGCAACAGGGGCAAAAGUCUCAUUGUAGUCUAUUCCUGGUUUCUGAGCAUAUCCCUUUGCAAUAAGCCUUGCCUUGUUCUUUUGCACAGUUCAAUCAAGAUUGAGUUUGGUCUUAAACACCCAUUUAACUCCAAUUAUAGGCUUAUUUGAUGGUCUGUUUACCAGUUUCCAGGUUGUAUUUUUCUCAAUCAUGGAGAGCUUAUCUUUCAUGGCUUUCAUCCAAGACUCAUCCUCAGCAGCAUCUUCAUAUUUCUUAGGUUCUAUAAUGCACAAAUUGCAUUGAGCAAGUACGUCAUCCAAGUUUCUCCAUUUCAAUGGAGUAUGAUAAAAAACUUGUGAGCCUCUCACACCUUCACUUGAUUUGCUAGAAGACUCACUCGACUGUACUUGUGGAGUAAUCUGAGUGUCAUCAGUAUCACUUGGAGUUUCUCUCAAACUACUAGGUGACAAGGUAUCUGAGACUUGAGUCUCAUCUUCUGUGUACUCACUUCUUGGUAUCUCAAUAGACUACCAUUCAUAGUUAGGCAUAAUCGCAUGUUUCUCUAUGUUUCCUUGCCAGUUCCAACUUGAAUCUUCAUCAAACACAACAUCUCUUGAUAAUAUUAUCCUUUUAGAGAGUGUAUCAAAAACUCUAUACCCUUUCUCACACUUUGCAUAACUAACAAAAACUCCCUUCAGACUUUGAGCUUCUAGUUUGUGCCUUAGCUUAGAUGGAGUGUGCACAUAGCAAAUUGAGCCAAAAACCUUCAAAUGAGCAAUACCCGGUUUCCUUCCACUGUAAGCUUCAAAGGGGGUUAUGUUGUCAAGAGAUUUGGUAGGACAUCGAUUCAGAAUAUAAACUGCAGUAUGUACAGCCUCUGCCCACAUAUAGUAAGGCAUCCUUUUAUCAUGUAGCAUAGACUUGGCCAUUUCAACCACAUUUCUAUUUUUCCUCUCCACCACUCCAUUUUUCUGUGGAGUGUAUGCAAGAUAGAGUUACCUUUGAAUGCCUUCUGUAUCACAGAACUGAUUGAAUUCAGCAUAUAUGAACUCCCCUCCUCUGUCACUCCUCAGACAUUUCACCUUUAAACCAGUUUACAACUCAGUCAUUGCUCUGAACUUCUUGAAGUAAGAGAAAGCAUCAGAUUUAUAUUUAAGAAAGUAUACCUAAAUCAUUCUUGUUGCAUCAUCCACAAGUAGCAUAAAAUACUUGUUUCCUCUAGUGGAUUCAUUUCUCAUUGGCCCACAUAGAUCAACAUGAACUAAUUCGAGUAGAGCACCUGCUCUUUGUGCUUGACCACUAGGAAAGCUUUCUCUGUGUUGUUCACCAUAUUGACAACCUUCACAGACUCUAUCAUACUCUUCUAGAUAUGGUAGACCAUGAACCAUGUCUUUAUCCUUCAACUGUUUAAUUCCACCAAAACUUAAAUGGCCUAAUCUUCUGUGCCAAGUCCAAGUACAGUGAGCAAAACUACUCUUCAACAUAAGUUAGUUCUCGGACCUAAGAGAUAGAGGAUAGCACCUAUUUCCUUUCAUUUUCACACUGAUAAUUUGACAUUCCAAAUAAGGACCAUAAAAAACAGUACAAUACUUCCACCAAACACAAGAUAAUAUCCGUGCUCAUCCAUUUGUCCCACACUUAGUAGAUUCUCCUUUAAACCAAGUAAGUACAUGACUUCUCUGAUGUAUUUCCUCCCUCUAUUAGUUUCAAUACUAGUGAUCCCAUUCCUACCACAUUCACUAACACUCCUGUUGGCAUUUGAACUUUCCCUGCAACAUUGGUCUUCACAUCAAUAAGAAGAUCAAUAUUUCCUGUCAUAUGGUUGCUGUAUCCACUGUUAAUAUACCAUUCUCCAUUAAUUUUUGAUUCAGCCACAACACAAUUUGCAUAGAAUAGGUUUCUCGUCACUUCCAUUUGAUUUGCACAAUUUGCAUAGAAUAGGUUUCUCGUCACUUCCAUUUGAUUUGCACAGUUUGCUUUCUGAACAGCUUUUCCAACAGUACAUUCUUUGGCCCAGUGCCCAAAUCUAUCAUAAUUAUAACACUUAGAUUUCCCUUUAUACCUACAUUCACCAUAAUGAAAUUUGGAGCACACCUUGCACUGAGGUUUUGUACCUUCUUGACUCAUGAUUUGAGCAGAAGUAACAUUUUGUGUAGCAUUAACAAAUGGCUUUUGUUGAAACUUGGGUUUUAAGUCCCACUUCUUACCCUUCUGAUUAUAAUUUCUCUGUGGCUUAAAUGUACUAGACUGAGCAUACCCUCGAUUCUGUCCUUUUGGAUUAAUAGUAAAACAAGAAAAUGCUUUCUUAGUAGCAUCAGAUGAGUGCAAAUCAAACCUCUGCUCUUGACUCUUCAAUAUAGCUAGUACCUCUUGCAGCUCAACAUAUUCCAAACAUUUGGUGUUUUCUAUCACUAAACAUAAAGAAUCAUACAUCUUAGUGAGACUAAUUAACAACUUCUGUACUAAUCUUUAAUUUGAGAAAGUUUCACCAAACAUCUUCAUUUGAUUAAUUAGAUCAUUUAAACGAGUAAGAUACCCAGACAAGGAUUCAUCAUCACGCAUUCUAGUGUAUUCAAAUUCUCAUCUAAGAUUUUGGAGUUUCACAGACCUUACCUGAUCUCCACCAUGAUAUUCACCAUUUAACAAAUCCCACACCACUUUUGCUGAGUCUGUGUUUGCUAUUCGAGGGAAGAUCUGAUUGGAGACUACGCUUUGAAUGAUGUCGAGGGCUUUUGCAUCUUUCAUGAAGAUUGCAGCCAUUUUCUCAUCAUCGUCACCAUCAGCGUCUGUAUCUUCAUCAGUCUUCGCAUUCGUCUUCUUCGAAUCGGGAGUCGUAAUCCCUUUUUCCAACAGAUUCCAUAGUCCACUUGACUUGAAAAUGGUGACCAUUUUGAUUCUCCAGAACUCAUAGUUCUCAUUGGAGAAAAUCGAAGUCAUCACUUCAGCACUUCCAGAUCCAACCAUUGCGAGCUUGUGCGAACCCAUAAAACUCAGUGCCGUUGAUGUUCGAAUUCACUGUGCAUGCCCAGUUCUAAUCGCAACCUGGCUCUGAGGCCAUGUUAGAUUGAAUCAAAACAAUGAUUAUUCUUGUAUUGGAAAAUGGUUUCUACUCACUCUCUACAAGUUGUAGAGAUACUCCUUUUGAUUUAUGAUCUCUCUUAUCUUAUUUCUCAUAUAAGUCGUGAGAUAAGAAAAAAAGAAACUAUUAGGGACUGUUGGAUCUAUUCUCACUCUCAGAUUAUAUCACAGCCAUACAUCUAACAAGUAAUCAAAACAUAAGAAAUUCACAUGGCUCUCAUGGCCUUUUACAAAACAAAACCUUUACACUUGGCAUUCUAAGUACAAGUGGAUACACCAUUUGAAAACAUAAAAACUUAUUCUAUUAGCUCAUAACUUAUAAUUCAACAGAAUUCACUUGUCUAGAAACCCAACGCCACUUGAAAGAGCGAAAGUGGUGACGAAGAUUCCAAAUUUCUUGUAGGAGGAGAAAGAUAGAUCUGUUUGCCUUUUGUUUAUCACCCUUUAUACAAGCUACCAGAGUAGCAGAGUUAGACUAAAAAAUUGCAUUCAUCAUAUUAUUUCAUAUGGUCGUCUACACUGCCAAAACAACGGCCAUGGCCUCCGCCUGGAGCGCUAAGGAGGAUAAUCCAUUUCCAUAGUUCCCAGCCACCAACGAACCUGUGGCGUCACGAAUGAUGACUUCAAGACCCGCAAAGCCCGUUUCCUUGAUCCUGGAUGCAUCACAGUGAUAAGCUCAUAUUUAUAUAUAUUUUACAUAAAAUUCACUUGUCUUUUCUUAGUUAGUUCCUUAUAUUUUUGAGCUAUUUACUAUGUUUUUGUGUUUUGUGUGAUUUAUCAAGCAAAGAAAAGAAAAGUAGCACAAGUGAGAUAUUAUGUAACAAAUUUGUCAAAACUGCCUGUGCAGAUUAGCUGCCUUUGGAAGCAUGUUACGAAUAGAUAAGAAUGAAUGAGAAAAUGAGCGUUAUAUGCUUGGAAAACUAUGGAUGUCUAUUUUCUGGAGAAAUUCACAGAUUGUUAAUAUCAUCUUUCUAGAAGAAGUUACGGGCAUUGUAACACUGAAAGGUUCAGAAAAGGGCUAAGCAGAUUUGGCUAAUAAAAUGAGAAAGUAAAGGCACUUGUUUUGUGUUUUGCUUUGUCCUCAACACUCAGUAGCAAAUGGGGUUAUGAUUGCACUCAUUUGGCUUUGGAGCAAGUGGAAAUGCACAGCUAGAAAGAGAAGGCAUGACACAUGCAAACUGCACAACAUGGAGGGCUUGGCAUGGGCAGAAAAUGGGUGGGUUGUUGGCUGAAAUAAUAAAUAACAUGUGUGUGCAAAUGCAAAGGAAAAACACACACACAUGGGCAAAGGAAAUACACAUACAUGGGCAGAAAAUGUGUUUGUUUUGUGGCUGAAAUGAUGGAGGUCAUGUGUGUGCAAAUGUAAAAGGAAACAUGGACAUCACACACCCAUACAAACUGCACAUGCAAGGAAUUGAAGUGGUCCUCUCCUUAGCCUAUAAAUACAUCCACCAUUCCCCUUCCUAAAAAAAAUCUUGAUCCAUCAAAAGAGCUUCAUUCACAAACACAAGUCCUUUGCCUUAAGCUCCAUUCCAUUUCAUCCAUACAUUCAAACACAUCUCCAUACAUUUCCAUUUUCCAUGUUGUGCAAAUCCAUUCCAUCCAUAUAUCCAUACACAUCCUAGACACUUGUGCUACAACAAGGUGGUGAAAACAAAGGUCCUUGGCGUUUCAAGCUUGGAACUUUGGAGCGUUUUAGGUGUACUUCGUUCUUGCUUUCAAUGUCUACUUUGUUAUUUUCUAAUUUUGUUGCAAUUAUGAGUGGCUAAACCCCUAUUUAGUUAGGGGGAAGUUUGAAGCCAUGAACAUGCUUGAGAUUUGAAUUGAUUUCUUCCAAUUGUGAUUUGAUAAGUUGUGAUUGCAAUUCAAUUAUCUAUUUUAUUCAUAACUAAUUCUUGUAUGUUUAUUAAGGAUGCAUGCUUAGUUUUCAUGCAUGAAUUAGAUGCUAGAAUAUAAAUGAGUUUCACCUAAUCGUUACAAGUUUAUAUUCAUGUGUAGUGAAGGUUGUUUAUCACAAUCGCGUUAAUUGAAUUCUUGGAAAUUGUAUCAUGCAUUCAUAGUUAUAAUUGCCUCGUCAACACUUAUGAUUUUCAUUGAACGUAAUGAUUUUUGAUUGUAUCUCUAUUAUACAUUCAUAUAGGGGACUUUUAGAGAAUGAUUUGGGUUGUCGCAUGCAUUCAUCCAAUUCAAUGAGUAAAGGAAAAUCUGAGGGUUAAUUUGUGCAUCACGGUUAAUCCGGGGUGUUGAGCAUCAUAGUUCAUUGAAAAGCAAUUGGAAAUCGAUUCAUAUACAAGUGUGUCAUGUGUGAAGAACGGACCUCUAACUAAUCCAUCCAUCAUCUUAUUUCUUAAAUUCGUUUUACAAUCUGCCUAGUUUUAUAACUUAUUUGUUUGUUUCAAAUUCAUCAAAACUAAAAUCCCUCCUUUACUUUCUUGUUUCAAAGUGUUUAAAAUCUAUUUUGUUUGUGUUUUAGAAGGUUUUGAGUCAAGUCAAAACCCAAAUUUCGUCCAAAGUUGUGUUAGAGUAAAAAACUGCCUAGUUUGUGAUUUUAGGCAGUUUUGAGUGUUUUUAAGUUGUUUUGAGUCUUGUGAACCUGUUUUGAGUCCUUUGAGUCUAUUCAAACGUUUAACUUUGUUUUUAUGUUUUUGAGUUAGUUUAGAGGUUUUAGCAAGCCCUCAUAAUCCCCGGUUUAGAACGAUCCAUACUUAUAUUUAUAAUACAAUUUGACAACAAGAGGGUUUAAUUUGAGUGCUUAACUUUCAUCGCAUCAAAUUUUGGCGCUGUUGCUGGGGAUUAGCAACUUUGCUAAUCCCCCAUUGUUUCUUUUUCAUGUCUUUUGUUUUAGUUACUGACUUUGUUUCUAUUUGUGUCUUUUAUUUUUACUUAUGAUAUUUGAUUUAGUUUUGUUUCCUUGAUUUCAGGUACUAGAGAAGUAAGACAUGGAUUUUGCUACCAUUCAAGCUCAAUUGGCGAAACUUACUUCUCAAUUCUCACAAGAUGCCAAAAGGACCACAAUACAAAGUGUCCCUACAGAAGGUAUGUCCUAUGGGGAAGGAUAUCCAACUCAUCAAUGUUCUCAAUUCGCUGCGAAUGAAGAUGCUUGGGGUUAUCAAGGCCAUAGCCAAUCAUGGGACAACAUGUUUUCCAACGCUUACAAUUCGGAUUGGAGAGAUUAUUCAGAUUACAUGUGGGGAGAACCUCAACAAUUCUAAAAAGAUGGGUAUUAGCAGCAAGAAGAGGAAUUCUAUUCAAGACUUAUGCAGCCACCACAACAAUCUACCCAAUUCAAUUCAGGUACGUCUUUGGAUAAUGAUAUGUUUAAUAAGUUACUCACCUCUUUGAACCAGGAAGUAGAAAAUGGAAACAAAGAAAUGAAAAAUCAAGCCAAGAAGACGGGAGAAUUGGAGAAGCAAAUUGGGCAGAUUAUGGAGUUCAUGGUACAAAUUCAAGAGCAAAGUGAACUCUCCAACUCAACUAUUGAAAAUUUGAAGGAAGAUUUUGAAAUCCAUGAUGCUAUCACUUUGGGAAGUGCUAUAGAGGUUGAAGGUGAACCCAAGACAUCCAAACCAAGCCAAAACAUGGAUGAACAGCUACUGCUCGAAGAAGAGGAGAAUAACAAGGCCAUGGCAAGGGAAGAACCACCUUUGCCGCAACCCCAUAUGCCAUUUAUGCCGUCCACUUCAACCAAGGUAAGCCUAAAUUCAAUUUGUCCUGACCCCGUUUCACCAAAUGUCCUUAUUCCUUGCAGGAUCAUGCAAUCCAAGGAAGAAGAGGGUGAGAAAGGCAUCUUCGAAACCUUUCCAAAGAAUCAAAAGCAAGAAGUGGAUGGGGAAUGUCUAGAAUUCAUCAAAGAAGAUACACUUGAGACGAAAAUUCCCAAAGAAGUUGGAUUUUAUGACACGGGACAAGUCAUAACUCUUAAAACACCAAAUCUGGCCAAGUCCCAUAUCCUUGCAACCUUCAAAGAUGUGGUGUUCGUAACUGAGGUUGUGUUGGAGCAAGCAAGUAAGCCAUCUUCUCCAACUUCGAUUUAUUAUAUACUAACUUGCUGGUUUUGAUGAUUCAGGCACCUACACUAGAAUUUAAACCAUUGCCGGAUCACGUCAAGUAUCACCGUCCAUUCAAGGAUCAAUUCCAUGCUAUGGGCCCUAUCCAAGUUUAGAAGGAAGUUUCAUCUGGCUGGAAGACGUUAAAGCAAGCGCUUCUUGGGAGGCAACCCAUGUAUUCAAAUAAGGAAGAUUUUUGAAUUGCUCCACAAUCAGUUUUGCAUUUCUAAAAACCUUCCCUUUUUCUGUAGUUUUAUUUUGCCAUGAUUGUCAUUUUUAUUUGUUGAUUGUUUAAUUGUUUUUGGUGUGGGUUUUUUUUUUUUUUUUUUUUUUUUUCAAACACUGACAGUUAUGCAAGGUAUUUUUACAUUCAUAAAAAAGAAAGGAACAUUAAGCAGAUAAAUACAAGAGGGAGCCUUCACAAAGGCUGCUUAGGAGAAGUCUCAGUAGUCGGCGGAGCCUCAGCAGUCGGCGGAGCCCCAGAAGGAAGAGGCAUCGGAGGUUGAUCAUUUGGAACUUCAUUACGCGGUACAGCCCCAGAAGACGAAGGCAAAUGCUAUUGGAACAAACCCACAAACCUCUGAUGAUCAAGUAAAAUCUGACCAUCAGAUUCUUGCAUUUGGUCAAUCUUCCUCUUCAUGUUUGUAGCAUAGUUAUGUGCGAGCCUGUGCAACUAUUUAUUCUCAUGCUUAAGCCCUCUAAUCUCCUGCUUGAGACUCAUCACUUCAGCCGCUAAUGAUUCAACUUGACGGGUUCGGGCAAAUAGGCGUUGGGCCAUAUUAGACACGGAACCUGCGCACUGCACACUGAGAGCCAGAGAAUCCUUAACAGCCAACUCAUCAGAUCGUUGGCAAGUAGUCUGUUAUCUUUGGGAGUGACAAGGUUCUUGGCCACCACCGCAGCUGUCAUAUCAUUCUUCAUCACCGAAUCCCCAACGGUAAGGGGACCAAUAGGGGAUAUAAAGGAUGGGCGCCAUAAGUUGUCUGGAGAAGGCGGGACUGCCUCUUCACCAAGGUUCAAGUCAAAACAACAGUCGGAGGGGCCAGACAUUUUCAGAGGUGUUAAAGAAAGAAGAGGUCGGACAAGUCAAGAUCGUAGAAGUGCAAGAAAAGAGUUUUUACAGGCAGAAAUUCAAGUGUUCUUUAAACGUCCUGCGUACCUCUAUAAAAAUUAGCACACGAUGGGAUUUCAGAGGUCGAAGAGGCGAGCUUAGAAAUCGAAGAGGCUAACUCAAAAAUCAAAGAGGCGCUAGCUUUCUCAAAAGCUGGGUUUGCUCAGAAACCACGACCAAUCUUCUUUUCCAGAUUUGUCCGCACUUGUCACAUGCAACCUCUGCACUCGACGGGAUUUCAGAGAUCGAAGAGGCAAGCUCAGAAAUCGGAGAGUUAUAUGCUUUUCCAAACGUGUCAGCAUCUGUCACAUGCAGAGUUAACUUUGCAGAAAUCACGGGCAGUUUGUCGAAGCGCCGAUUCCAGAUAUUGAAGAGGCACUUUCUUUUCUAGACGUGUCAGCGCUUGUCACAUGCACAUUCAGCCUUGCGGAAAUUACGGGCAAUCUAUCGAAGAUCUCUUGUGAAGUAGAAAACACGUGAAGUUCACUAUUAAAUCAUCCAACGGUUGCUGACAAGAGUGAAAGAAUAGUACCGGUUAUUAAUUCCUAUAAAUGACACCUUUCACCCUCCAUUGCAAGGCAAACAUACAUAACCCUUCUUCUUAUCUGAGAAUGCCUUUCCAACAAACCCUUUCGAGUUACCCAGUGUUCCUUAUUCCUUGGGGUACCUCUGCAAACAACUCAUCCAAAGCAAAAGUAUUUCAUAUCAUGAAGGUUGAAAGCAAGAGUAUCUCAUAUCAUGCUUUCUCCCUGUCUUUCUCCUUGUCGUUGUUUUGGGAUAAGGAGAAAGAGAGCAAUCAGCCAGCACUUGGUAUCAAUCUUCCGAUCUGAAACCGACUGCCUGGAACCCCUUCCUGAUUGCUUACCUAGCCUUGCUCUCGAGUACUCAUCUUCAUCAUUUUAUGCUUCCUCUUCGUUUACCACAUUUGCUUGGGGAACAGAUAAGGGAAGUGAAAAUGAUACCUCGAAACAUGUGGAGACAAUUUACCAAUUCAUCCUCAGCUAGGGACAAGGAGAAAAAAAAGCAAGAGGUGGGCACUUAGAAAGAUUGAAGAAAGAAACAGACCAACAUCUCUACCUCGUGCCUACCCGCCAUGCAGAAGAAACAAGCAGAGAAGAAUGAGACUGCACAAUAAAAUCAACCCAGUAGAAGGAGUCUGAUUUGAAACCAAGGAACUCUCAUAUUCCUCGCUCAGAAUUCCAAACCAGUUCGAGAUCAAAGCUGUGGAAAGAUAACAAGAUCAUCUAUCUCCAAAACCAGAUUUGCGUUCUUAAACUCUACUCUGUCUAAUUUUUACUUUGUCAUACUUGUCAUGUUUGUUUGUGUGAGUUUAUGCUUGAAACAUUGAGGACAAUGUUUGAUUUAAGUGUGGGGGGGGGUAACCAUUGUUUUGCAUGAAAUUCGUAGGAGUUUAUCACCCAUUACUUUUAAUGUUAUUCCUUGCUGUUUUAAGUGUUUUUAAGCUGUUUUGUAGUGUUUCUGUGUGUUUUGACAUAAAAAUCCGAAAAUCUCAUAAAAAUUUGAAAAAUUGUUUUGAAAAACCCAAAAGAGUUGUUUUUGUAUGUUUUGUGUCUUAGGGUACCUUCCAACACAAUGAUGAGGAUUUGGUUUUUAAUUGCUUGACUGUUAAAGAGAGUUAUAAACAUGGAUGAAAAUUUGAUUUACUCUUUGGUGUAUGCUUGGUUGUGGUUAUAAUUUAUGAAUUCACAUGCAAUCAUAAAGGAAAAAUCAGUUUUGUAACAUGCUUGAAAGAAGGAACUCAAAUGUACGCUACAACCUUGUGAGACUUGAGCCUAAACAUUUAUUUGGAGAGUUAAUAAUCUGUGCAUCAUUGUUUUCUAAAGUCGUUGCAUGAUCUCAUUAUUCUUUGCUUGGUUGCUACUUAGAAGGUGUUUCAUUAGUUAGUUCCAAAUGCUAGAACUCAUGCCUAUUUCAUUCAAAGCAUGUUAUUGAUUUGCAUAAUACAUAUUCAAGAUGAAGUUGUGUAGUGACCACCACAGCCAAAUUGCCGUGCCCUAUUUCAUUAUGUGUUUAAGUUUAACCCCGUUGAGCCUUGUGUAGCCUAUGUUCUUUGUUAACCCACAAUAUCCUCACCUCGCCUAUAUUAGGACCAUCCAUACCCUUGUUCUUGAAGCAUAGUAAAACGUAAUUUAGAAGGAAUUCCUUUUGUUGAACUUUUGCAGAAAAAGGGGGGGAAGUGAUUCUUGUGUGUGUGUGUGUACCAAAGUCCUUAAUAAGGCACGGGUAGAAAAGAAAAAGAAAAAAAAAACAUUCGUGGAAAAUAGAAUGAAAAGAAGAAAAGUUGUGAAAAAGAGCCCUAAGUGUUGCAUGAAUCUUUCCUUUGUAUUUAAAAGUUGAUUCUGCAUUCUAAAGUGAAUUCCAAAGUGUCUAUUUCAUUGCUUUGCUUGCUAUCGCUUUAAGAACAUUUGUUAUUCCUAACAUUUGUUAUUCCUAUCCUUUCUUUAUUAGCCAAUACCCCAAGCCCCGUUACAACCCUUGACUUCUUUCUUGAGUGUUAUGUGUUUCAAUUUGUGGAGUUUGAAAUUGGUAUGAGCAUAUGGUGUCACUGAUUCUCGCAUCUAAGUAGUAGCGUUCCAUUCAUGAGAUCAUAUCUAAACAUGCUGAAUAACUCCAGAAAAGUGCCCUCUUUGUUAUACAUAUAUGUGAGUGUUCGUUUUCAUGUUUACAUCAAUCUUCUCACAUAUAACUAGUGUAGGGUGUGUAGUCAGAAAAUGUGUGUGAAAAGAGAAUAUCUUGUAAGGAAUUGAGUAAAUUCUCUAAGGCAUGUUACUACAUUCAAAACAUCGUUUUAAUUGGUUAAAUGUGAACUAGUAAGUGGUGACUGUGAUUAAGUAUGUGCUCAAGUGUUAAGUUGAAUAAAAUCUGUGGGAAUGAUGAUUUUUAACUUGUCAUGUGCGUUGGAAAUCCCUGAGGCAAACGUUGGAAGGUUUAGGUUGUGUUUUGUUUUCUUUAUUUUGCUCGAGGACUAGCAAAAGCUAAGUGUGAGGGUAUUUGAUAAGCUCAUAUUUAUAUAUAUUUUACAUAAAAUUCACUUGUCUUUUCUUAGUUAGUUCCUUAUAUUUUUGAGCUAUUUACUAUGUUUUUGUGUUUUGUGUGAUUUAUCAAGCAAAGAAAAGAAAAGUAGCACAAGUGAGAUAUUAUGUAACAAAUUCGUCAAAACUGCUUGUGCAGAUUAGCUGCCUUUGGAAGCAUGUUACGAACAACUCAAAAUGAAUGAGAAAAUGAACCUUAUAUGCUUGGAAAGCUACGGAUGUCUAUUUUCUGGAGCAAUUCACGGAUUGUUAAUAUCAUCUUUCUAGAAGAAGUUACGAACAUUGUAACACUGAAAGGUUCAGAAAAGGGCUAAGCAGAUUUGGCUAAUAAAAUGAGAAAGUAAAGGCACUUGUUUUGUGUUUUUCUUUGUCAUCAACACUCAGCAGAAAAUGGGGUUAUGAUUGCACUCAUUUGGCUUUGGAGAAAGUGGAAAUGCACAACUAGAAAGAGAAGGCAUGACAUAUGCAAAAGAGAAACAUGGACAGCUACACACAUGCAAACUGCACAGCAUGGAGGGCUUGGCAUGGGCAGAAAAUGGGUGGAUUGUUGGCUGAAAUAAUGAAGAACAUGUGUGUGCAAAUGCAAAGGAAAAACACACACACAUGGGCAAAGGAAAUACACAUACAUGGGCAGAAAAUGUGUUUGUUUUGUGGCUGAAAUAAUGGAGGUCAUGUGUGUGCAAAUGUAAAGGGAAACAUGGACAUCACACACCCAUACAAACUGCACAUGCAAGGAAUUGAAGUGGUCCUCUCCUUAGCCUAUAAAUACAUCCACCAUUCCCCUUCCUAAAAAAAAUCUUGAUCCAUCAAAAGAGCUUCAUUCACAAACACAAGUACCUUGCCUUGAGCUCCAUUCCAUUUCAUCCAUACAUUCAAACACAUCUCCAUACAUUUCCAUUUUCCAUGUCGUGCAAAUCCAUUCCAUCCAUAUAUCCAUACACAUCCUAGACACUUGUGCUACAACAAGGUGGUGAAAACAAAGGUUCUUGGCGUUUCAAGCUUGGAACUUUGGAGCGUUUUAGGUGUACUUCGUUCUUGCUUUCAAUGUCUACUUUGUUAUUUUCUAAUUUUGUUGCAAUUAUGAGUGGCUAAACCCCUAUUUAGUUAGGGGGAAGUUUGAAGCCAUGAACAUGCUUGAGAUUUGAAUUGAUUUCUUCCAAUUGUGAUUUGAUAAGUUGUGAUUGCAAUUCAAUUAUCUAUUUUAUUCAUAACUGAUUCUUGUAUGUUUAUUAAGGAUGCAUACUUAGUUUUCAUGCAUGAAUUAGAUGCUAGAAUAUAAAUGAGUUUCACCUAAUUGUUACAAGUUUAUAUUAAUGAGUAGUGAAGGUUGUUUAUCACAAUCGUGUUAAUUGAAUUCUUAGCAAUUAUAUCAUGCAUUCAUAGUUAUAAUUGCCUCGUCAACACUUAUGAUUUUCAUUGAACGUAAUGAUCUCUGAUUGUAUCUCUAUUAUACAUUCAUAUAGGGGACUUUUAGAGAAUGAUUUGGGUUGUCGCAUGCAUUCAUCAAAUUCAAUGAGUAAAGGAAAAUCUAAGGGUUAAUUUGUGCAUCACGGUUAAUCUGGGGUGUUAAGCAUCAUAGUUCAUUGAAAAGCAAUUGGAAAUCGAUUCAUAUACAAGUGUGUCAUGUGUGAAGAAUGGACUUCUAACUAAUCCAUCCAUCAUCUUAUUUCUUAAAUUCGUUUUACAAUCUGCCUAGUUUUAUAACUUAUUUGUUUGUUUCAAAUUCAUCAAAACUAAAAUCCCCCUUUUACUUUCUUGUUUCCAAGUGUUUAAAAUCUAUUUUGUUUGUGUUUUAGAAUGUUUUGAGUCAAGUCAAAACCCAAAUUUCGUCCAAAGUUGUGUUAGAGUCAGAAACUGCCUAGUUUGUGUUUUUAGGCAGUUUUGAGUGUUUUUAAGUUGUUUUGAGUCUUGUGAACCUGUUUUGAGUCCUUUGAGUCUAUUCAAACGUUUAACUUUGUUUUUAUGUUUUUGAGUUAUUUUAGAGGUUUUAGCAAGCCCUCCUAAUCUCCGGUUUAGAACGAUCCCUACUUGCAUUUAUACUACAAUUUGACAACAAGAGGGUUUAAUUUGAGUGCUUAACUUUCAUCGCAUCACACAGCUAAUUUUCACCAAGGGGUCAGUGUGAGGAGUCCAAGUAGGAGACGGAGACGAAACAUAAGGGUUCGUAGGCAUUAGAUAAGGGUUAGCUGACCAAAAGUUCUCCAUGGCCGAAGUUGCCCUCUAGACGGUGAAAAUGGGGGAUGGGGUAGAGCCGUUGAAGUUGGCAUGACAUCUAGUUUUUCAGAUUUCCUAGCAGGUGAAAGCAACAAGGGAAUAAAAACUGGCACAAUCAACAUUGACGCCAACAGAACAAGAUGACAGUGCCAUUAACAAACAGUUGAAAGAUGAGAUGCAAACCAAACUGCUUUCGUCUACGGACAGAGGAGGAUGCAAUGUUCGACAAUCUCUGGCAUGUUUGAACAUAACGGGCACAUUAGAUUGGCAUGAGCACCGCAUUGAAACAAGCCCGACAUUGUUGGUAGGCAAUUAUUAGCAAUUCUCCACAAGAAGAACUUGAUCUUAGGCAAGACAUGGAGGCCCCAAAUUGUUUCCAAAAAAUUGGGUUGAUGUAGUGAGAUUGAUGAGGUUUACCCAUAGAGGAUAGAAGACCCUCCCCCAAAGAGUGUCAAACUUAACCACAUAUUCUUCGCUUUCUGACCAAGGCCAAAUAAGGCGACCACAUGAUGAUAGGUCCCCCAAAGGGAUACACUCGAUUUCACCCCUUAUUUUUAUUAAUGUUCCAAGAAAGUUGAAAGUAAUGAAGAAGCUUAUGACAUGAUGUAUAGCCAAUAUUAUUAGUUAAGUAGUGGAGAAAUUUUUUCAUGUGACUGGAACACACAUCUCAGCACGACAGGUAGUGUUCCUCACCAAUAAUCUAUGGACACCUGUAUUCUUAUAGCAUAAUAAUUUAAUACAUUUAAAUUUUAUUAAAAAAAAUCAAAAUAAACAAACCUGCACUGUUCUUAAUAGUCCCAAUCUCCUAAAAGGCCCCCAUCUUAGCCUGACUCUUCUCCUCCCCCCCAUUGUUACCGGAAAAAUCUUAAACGGAGGUCAAUGACGGCAAAAUCUUAAACCACCCACCUCCAUCGUCUCCUGUGAUUUCACUCGGGACACCAUUUUUCACAAAGGUUUCCGAUUCCAUGCCUAAUGCCUUGGCUUUUUGCUGCUUUGGGGUUGUAUUGUUGCGCUCCCACCCCUCCCUCCCUUUUCAAAAUUGCAAUACCUUUUUGAAAUUGUAAAACCAAAUGGUGCCUCUGGUAUUGUUCGAAAUUUCAAGUUAGAGUGGUAUGAUGGCAUUGUUUUGUACUGCAUUCUAGUCAGUAAAAGUUUAUGGAUGAGUAGGAUACUUACCAUGUCCUGUGGUGAAGAUUGUUUAUAUCAAGUAGUAAUAUUUUUCUGUGGAAGCAUCAAACUAAUUGAUGACUUGGAACUUUCUCUUUAAUUGUAAUUGGGAAAAAACGGGUGUCUAUAAAUGUGGUUUUGGACUCACAGACAGACGACUGAGGUUAAUUCGUAAUUACUCAAGGCCAUCAACAACGAAAUUCUUUGUCAUAAGACAAAAAAUGAGAUUCCUUUCUUUUGAUACUGUAUGUAUAUUGAACUGGGUGGUAUCGAUACGUGCAUCGUCAACAUGAGGUGUCCGGAUGAUGUUUGCAUCAGUAACAACAAUUUUCAAAUUUAUGUUUGGAUCUAAACUUUUAUUAUCAAACAUCUAAAAAUUUAGUUGGAUUGCUUAGAAUCAUUUGUUAUAAUGAUUUUUUUUUUUUGGGGGAAUCGUCUUACUUCCUCAAAUUUUUAGCUUCAAAUUGGUUUGAAUCAUAGUGACUGCAGUUUCUCACUCAGGUUGGAAAACUCGGGACUUAAUUUUUCUUGCAACAAUACAACCCCAAAGAAGCAAAAAGCCAAGGCAUUAGGCAUGGAAUCGGAAACCUUUGUGAAAAAUAGCAUCCCAGGUGAAAUCACAGGAGACGAUGGAGGUGGGUGGUUUAAGAUUUUGCCGUCACCAACCUCCGUUUAAGAUUUUUCCGGUUACAAUGAGGGGAGGUGAAGAGUCGGGAGGAGAUGGGGGCCUUUGGGGAGAUGGGACUAUUAGGAACAGUGCAUGUUUGUUUAUUUUGAUUGUUUUUUAAUAAAAUUUAAAUGUAUUAAAUUGUUAUGUUAUAAGAAUACAGGUGUCCAUAGGUUAUUGAUGAGGAACACCACCUAUCUUGUUGAGGUGUGUGUUCCAGUCACAUGGAAUGAGACACUACCUACAAGUAACUUUUUCAACAAGAAUCUUGAGCAGACAUUUGCGCAAAGCAUAUACCAAGGCAAUUAAUAAUAUUAAAUGGUAAAGUGUUAAAAAGGAUUAAAAAUUUAGUAGCAAAAAAGGAAAUUUAGGGAGAGAACAACUUUUUAAGGUGAGUCCUCUCUUUGUGUGCCCAACUGUCCUACAAAUUAAUCAGCACAAUUGUGUAGGAUAUGCCACUUCUUCUUGAGUAAAAAAAUAUCAAACAUACGAAUUUUGGAAUGAUAUUAAUAGGAGGGCAUUCACAAGUUUUUCAACUUGUUAGUGUCAAAGUUUUAGAUUUUUGUGCCAAGUCGUUAAUGUAUGGUAAAUAAAUAAAAGACCAGAGCGCAAAGCUAGCAAAGUGAUAUUUUAGGCUUAAUUGGGCUUUUUGGCGGUAACAACGCUUUUGGGAGAUUAGACCUUGGUUUAGAGUGAUUUUGACGAUUUGUUUCAAGGGUGUUUUCUAUCCUUUAUUCUUAGGCUAAAUAGCCAAAAUGGUCCCUGAGAUUUGCAUAACUCAUCACUUUGGUCCCUAACAUUUCAAAUCAAUAAAAGUGGUCCCUGAAAUUGUCCACCAUCCAUCAUUUUGGUAUUUCUGUUAAAAAACUCUGUUAAGUGUCCUGGAGCUUUUGGCCGGAAGUUUGGGCAAUUUUCAAAACUUUGUAACUCAAUCGUUUCUAAACCAAAUUCAACCCAUAAUAUAUGAAAAUGAAGAUAGGAAAGUGUAGAAUAAGAUUAUACCUACUUGGAAGCCUAAUGGUUGCCGGAAAUGACCGGAAAAUAGCCUCAAAGUUGACUGGUAUGAGGGAAAACUGGAAAAUUCGCCUGAAACUGGGUAAACGUUAAACGUUCAUAACUUCUUCAAUACUCAACAAAAUCAAGUGAUUAAAAAAAAAUCAUACUUCUCGUCGAGACGAAGAGAAUGGUAUCUUUUUUUAUGGCUAAAUCACCGUGGUUUGGGUGGAAAACGGCUCGAAAAUGGUCGUCCAAGGCCACUUCCCGCCGCACCACCACCAUGGCACCGCCGUUGACCUCUGCGCUAGCUUGCAACCUAACUGCGUCGAGCACGUCACUAAGACGAUGUCAUUUUGACGUUUGACCCAUGGUUGCAGCCCGUUGGGCGUGCAGCGAGCAAAGAUUACCCGGCCUCCUUGGCCUGGGUUUGGUUUGGAUUGGGCAUGCAGCCCCAGCCCAUCAACCAACACAACUUAUUGUCGUUUGCUGGGCUCAGCCCUCACACUCAUGGCUCAUCACCAUCAACUCGUGUGUUGCUGGGCCUGGUCCUGCAUUCUUGGCCUGCCUGCAACAAGCCUGUGUUGCUAGUUGGGCUUUGCCCAAGUCUCAGCCCACUGGCUAGCAGCCUUUUACUGUUGGGCUUGACCUGCCCUGACCCAAAAAUCCUAAACCCAACUUCGGCUGGGCUUCCUCGCAUUAACCCGCAAGCCAACCUUGGGCUGAACUUGACCCAUACAUGGUUUUUAGGCCCAAACUAGCUUCUUUUUGCUGUUGGGCUCCUCAGACCACACAGCCCAGAGGCCUGCAGCCCUCCUGUGACCCAAUAAGCUUGUAGCCGAACUACAGGGCCUAUUCUCGUGAUACUUUUUCGACCCAAUGCCAAUUUUUGGCAUCUUUGCGUUAUAAAUCAUGCCCAAAAUCAUUUUUUGGGCACUUUGAUUUACGCUAAUUAAUUCUAAUUUAAUUAUCACUUGGUUUUUCACCAACUGAAGCUAAUAUGACCUGUUUGUCAUUAUUUUGCUUCCAUGAUCGACCCCGUUUGGUCUCGAUCUAUUGAAUUAAUUAAAAGUGACCUGUAGUCCAUUAAUCUGAUAAUUAAUCCAAAAUUAUUGACCUAAAGAUCACUUUUGGACAUUAACGAUUCAAUAAUUUAUUUAAAUACUUUGAACCGUUGACAUCCUUUCGUAGUCCCGAAGUUCUCACAUUUGAGUUCCCGAUGCAACUCAAAUCCACUACACUUAAAUCAGUAUAUUGCAUUCUGUGUUCUUGCAGGAAUCUCUCAUUUAUGAACUAAGCAUUCAUAAAUCUAAAAUGAAUCUGUAGUUUCAUAUUUAGUGCCUUUGGAACCCGAAGUUUUCAUUCAAAACUUAUCACAUGAAACCUGUAGCUUUCAUGCUUAAAUUAAACCAAUACAUGUCUAUAGAACUCGAAUGUUCUACGAUGUAUGUUUAUGGAUUACCAUAUGACUAACCACGUUUUGUUGUACCCUCCAUUUUAGGGACAUGUUGAACUUGAACAAGCUUGAUUUCACCACUCUGAAAGUAUCUGGAAGAAACUACGUGAAGUGGGUUCAAGACGUGAAACUCCAUCUUACAACAAAGGGUAUUAGAGCCACUAUCGAGGCAUUUACCAACGAAAAACAGGUCGAUGAAGCUCAGAAAACUACUGCAAUGAUCUUCAUUUGAAUACAUAUCCAUGAUGCUCUGCAGACUGAGUAUCUCGAUGAGGAGGACCUACGCACCCUCUAGCUUACUCUGGCCGACAAUUUUGAUCACCAUAAAGACAUUUACUUGCUUGAAGCAAGACACGAUUGGCAGCAUCUACACUUCUAAGACUUCAAGUCCGUAAAUGAAUACAACUAUGAAGUUUGUAGAAUUCGAUCACUACUUAAGUUCUGUAAAGUGAACUUAACCGAAUCAGAUUUCCUAGAAAAGACCUAUUCGACCUUUCAUGCCACCAAUAUUGUUCUGUAGUAACAAUAUAGGGCACAUAAGUUCACCAAAUUUUCGGAUUUGAUCUUUGUUUUACUUCUCCCUGAAAAGAAGAACCAUCUUUUGAUAAAAAAAUCAUCAAGCUCGACCCACUAGCUCGAACGUCGCGUCUGAAGUGCAUGCGACCAAUUUUAGUAGCCAUAAACGACGAAAAAAUCAUUGUCGCCAUGGUAAUGGGCAGCAAGCCUAACCACGGGUCCAAGGUCAAUAGAAUCAAGGCCCACCUAAGGGAGGAAAUUUGACCCAAAAGCACCAACCCCUUACCCCUAAGGCCCCAGGCUUCAAGAACAAGGGAAAAGCUACCGUUCAAUCAGCUUCCACUAAAAUUGACAUGUGCUACCACUAUGGAUCAAUGGAUCAUUGGUCACACGUAUGUUGAGCUACCCCUGAGGCCAUUACCAAGUAUCAUUCUCGUCGUGAGUCUAAUUUUGCCCAUGUGUAACAUCUCGAAGAUGCUACUACAUCCAUGGAGAUAUCAUAUUUUCAAGAGGCAUUAGCUCCUAUGGACAAAUAAGUUUUAUUCUUCUAGACAUGUUUUUAGGGUGUUUUUACCCCUAGUUUCCAAACCCACUAGGAGUGGCUAGACCACCCCUUUAAAUUUGUAGGUUUAUGGUUUAAUUUUUGGACAAUUUUUCUAAGUAUUUGGAAUAAUUUGUUUGGUUUUGGUUUGUUUUGAAUUAUGGACUAUUAUUUUAUGGAUAUUAUUUCUUGAAUUGAUUAAUUGAAUGAAGGGAAUUAUAUUUAUGCAUGUGACCAAUUCAAUCAAUUUAUUUCUAGGUAUGUCUAGCGGGGAAAUUAGUUGUCUGACUGAUAGUGUUACCACACACACCAUAUUGUGUGAGCGAUACUAUUUUACUAACUUCGUACGUAAGAACGCACCUCUGACAACUCUCUCAGUUUCAUCCAACCUAAUUGAAAGAUAUGGAAAGGCCCGUAUCAUGUUGUCCAAUGGUACUGUCUUAACCAUUAAAGAGGCCCUCUAUUCUCCAUGUUUCGGAAGAACAUUGCUGAGUUUUAAAGAUAUUCGAGAUAAUCAAUAUCAUAUUGAAAUCACUGAAGAGAAUGAUUUUGAAUUUCUUUGUAUCACUUCUUACGAGUAUGGCCAGAACCAUAUUCAUGAGAAGUUGGAACGUCUCCCGAGUGAGUUGUACGUAACAACCAUUCGUGGCAUAAAACCCUACCAUGUGGUCGGCCAUGUGCCUGAGUUCCAGAGCACUUUGAUGCUUUAGCAUGACCGUAUGGGACAUCCCGGAUGUGACAUGAUGCGCCGUAUCCUCAAAUCAUCACAUGGGUAUUAUUUACCUCCCUACGUUAGAUUCUUGCCAUGCAAAGUGUGCUUUGGGGAAGUUGAAUACUCAACCCUCAAUUACAAAGAUUAUUCAUAACCCUCCUAAGUUUCUUCACAGGAUUCAAGGGGAUAUUUGUGGACCUAUCCAACCAACAUGCGGACCAUUUAGAUACUUUAUGGUGUUGAUUGAUGCAUCGACAUGAUGGUCACAUGUUUGCCUAUUGUCCACAUGCAACGCUGCAUUUGUGAAACUCCUAGCACAAAUUAUUAAGCUAAGGGUUCACCACCCUAAUUUGUUAAAGUAUUUACAUACUCAGGGGGAGUGUUGCUGUCAUAUUUAGAAUAUGAAUGUCAUUGUGUAAAUCUUAGUGUAUCUAGGGAUAUCUUUGAAUAUUCCCUUUAGUAGCUAAUAUUCUAUUAGAGUUGUAAUCCUAAGAGGGUAAGGAUUUAACCUAUCCUAAUACUAUAAAUAAGGCACACUAGGGUGAUACAACACACACCUCACAAUUAAAUUUUUCUCCUCUCUCUUAUUGUCGCCGGCCUUCCCCUCUUUAUUCCCUUAGAAUAGUUCAGCCAAAUAGGGCUACAACAAAGUACAAAUUAUUUAUUCAAUUUUUAUGGAAAACAAUUUUGCAUGAGCAUUUAUACUACGACUAUUUUAUGCUCUUGCAAGUAUUUUCGGUAAUUUUAACCCUAUUUGAACUAGCAAUAAAAAUUCAUCAUUGGCCAAACAAAUAGAGCCAAUUUAGGCCUAACAAUGGACCACCUUUGGAGCACUAAUAAUCACAAAUAAUUAGCAAUACAAUUCUUCUAAAGAGUAGGCGCCCCUUGAAAAACUAUGCACAAAUAAUAUAAUUAAUCUUGUUGGCAUGGUCUCGAUCAGAAAAAGAGAGAGACACCGAACUCCAACCUAUCUAGGAGACAACCCUUCCUUAAAACUUACAAACUACAUGUAUAUAUCUCGGUUCAGUAUCCCCUUAUUUUUUUAAUGUUCCAAGAAAGUUAAAAGUAAUGAAAAAGCUUGUGGCAUCAUGUAUAGCCAAUAUUAAUUAAUCAAGUAGUGGCUUUUGAGACAAUGACAUCAAGUAAAUUUUUCAACAAGAAUUCUAGCUAGAAUCUUUAGCAGUCAUGUUCACCAAGCAUAUACUGAAGCAGUUAACAAUAUUAAAUUCUAAAGUGUUAAAAAGGAUUAAAUGUUUAGGAUUAAAUAUACUGAAGCAUUUUUAGGUGAUUCCUCUCUCUGUGUGCCCAACCGUCCUUCUACAAAUUAAUCAGCACAACUGUUUACCUAUAUAAUAUAGAAUUAUUGCAGCCGCCUCUUAAAUAAUCAACCGGAAGAAGAGGUUUGCAUGCAUCCCUGGUGACCUCCUUCUAUAGAGAUUAUUUUUCAUGUACCUAAAAUAUAAACUAGUACAUCGCAUGUUAUAAUAUAAAUAGAGAUAAGAUUAUAUUAUUAAGUGCCCUUAACUUGUAAUAUGACAAGUAACGUAUGUACUGGCUUGUGUUCCAAGUAAAUUGAAAAAUGAAAAUCUCUCUUCCCUCUGAACAACAAAACAAACCUCCCUCUCGUCACGCCAAAUAAAGUUAAGGUUCCACCAUAAAAUCUAUUGAUAAUAUAGAGAGUAACCCAACUUACUUAUAAGCACAUGCAAGGUCUCUUCUCUCAUCAAUGUGAGAUUCAUUUUUAACAUGACCCUUCACGUGUGACGGAUUUUCAAGCCAAACUUGUGGACAACACAACGGGAUAGCGUGGAGCACGUGUGGCCGUUGGGCUUCACACGUGGGACAACCUACUCUGAUACCAUGAAGAAAGUUGAGGUUCUACCAUAAAACCAAUUGGCAAUAUGGGGAGUAACCCAACUUACUUAUAAGCACAUACAAAGUCCCCCAUCUCAUAAAUGUGGAAUUCAAUCUCAACAACCCGACCCAAACAUUGUGCUUCUUUUGAAAGUUCAAACCCUUCGGGAGUUUAGGUUUUGUUUAGGGUUUAGGAUUCAUGGAUUUUAAAUUUAUAUUCCCUCUAAUCAGUGGUAACUUCUUUUUCUCAUUCAUCAAUAAAAUCUCCAUCGAGAUAUCUUUGUUAGAAAGCAAAUGGGGCUCCUUUGAAAUAAUAAUUACAAAUGAUUCGCAAUACAAUUCUUAAACUCACCUUCGGACCUUCUUCUAACUAACAAAACAAUUCCUUUCAAGGUUAUUGUAUCUUUAUUUCUUCUUUUUCAAUAUAUUCACAAUAAUUUCUUUCUCAUGAUAACAACGCUAGAGUGAAAGUGAAAUUUUAUUGUUUUAAUAAAAAAAACUAACAAAAAAAAAAAAAAAAAAAAACUUGCUGAUCACGUCAGGUCAACCAAAUAAUGGACCACGUUUGGAGCACUAGUCCCAAAUAAUUAGCAAUACAAUUUUUCAAAAGAGUAGCCGUCCGUUGAAAGACUAUACACAAAUAAUACAAUAUGAUAUCAUAAUCCGAUCCCAAUUUUUAAUUACUACACCAAAAUUCUACCUAAAAGUAAUUAAUAUACCAAAAUUCUGUUGACCUGUAGCUACAAACGUGUUUGAGAAGAGGAGACACAUAAUCUUGUUGGUAUGAUUUCGAUCUGACAAGGAGAGACACCGACUUUGGAAUUUGUAAUCAAGGAAAGUUGUUCUCAUUCUCUUGCGAUUGUGGUUAUUCUCUUGCAAGGUAGCACAUGAAUAGAAAGUCUGUAAAGUACCUAAUUUCUGUGAAUGGUAGUUAAACCUCACAGUUUCAUGUACUAUUAUAUAUCCAAUUUGUCUGGCCAGACUUAGUACAAGAAAGUCGGCCCUUGCCUCUUCCAAGUAACACACACUUCUAGAAUCCCCAAGCAGUGGUGGCACAGCGAAUCAACCAUGGGAUCGGUGGAGGAGAUCCAGCAGCCGCUGCUGCUCGGAUUUGACACGCAUUCUCGGCUUGCUGAUUUGUCAUCCCCUGCUGUUGAAGAGUUUCUAGGGCACCGGCCAGUGGCACUCUGGUGGUGGCCUAGGCUGGUGGUUUGGGAGUCAAGACUCCUAUGGAUUUUAUCUGGUUCAUCUAUUAUUGUUUCCGUAUUCAACUAUAUGCUAAGCUUUGUCACCCUCAUGUUUUGUGGGCAUUUGAGUGCCUUGGAGCUUGCCGGAGCCUCUAUCGCUAGUGUGGGAAUUCAGGGUCUUGCUUAUGGGAUUAUGGUUUGUAGCUAAAUAAUAUACCUACUUAAUAAAAAAUGGGAACCGUAUUAACAUUCCAAAAUAGUCAUAAUGAAUUCCUCCUUUGUUUUUUUUUUACCUUAAGGGGUGCAUGAUGAUUAUUUUGAAGUGUCAAUAACUCUCUCAAUAAUUCAUGUUGUGCAAUUUCAUAUCUAUUUUUCUUUUUGGUGGUUGAGUUAAUACAUUCUGGUUCUUGUUUCUUAAUUCUCGGUUCGGAAUCAAAGUUGGGAAUGGCAAGUGCUGUGCAAACUGUGUGUGGGCAAGCGUAUGGGGCCAAACAAUUGCCAGCAAUGGGAAUCAUAUGCCAAAGAGCAAUCAUCUUGCACUUGGGAGCAGCAAUCCUCCUCUCAUUUGUGUAUUGGUGGUCAGGUCCUAUCCUCGUAGCGAUCGGCCAAUCAGAAGAAAUAGCCGAGCAAGGCCAAAUCUUUGCAAGAGGAAUUAUUCCUCAGCUUUUUGCAUUUGCCAUAAACUGCCCCCAGCAGAGGUUCCUUCAAGCUCAAAACAUAGUCAACCCUUUGGCUUACAUGUCUGUUGGAGUUUUCAUCCUUCACAUUCUUCUCAAUUGGGUGGUGGUUUUUGUUGUGGAUUAUGGCCUAAUUGGGGCUGCUCUUACACUGAGCUUCUCUUGGUGGCUUCUUGUCAUUAUAUAUGGGCUUUACAUUCUUUUGAGUCCCAAGUGCAAGGAGACUUGGACUGGCUUCUCUUGGAAAGCCUUCAAAGGGAUGUGGCCUUAUUUCAAGUUGACUGUUGCCUCUGCUACCAUGCUCUGGUAGGUGAAACAAUAAUGCAAAAUUACAAAUGCGACCACAUUGGGUUUUUUAGACCACAUUAGUUAACGAUCUUAAUUAUGUAGAAGCUGAUGUAUCAGUUGCUCAGCAAAUAAGGCGGUUUGCUAAUGUGGUCUAAAAAAUGUGGUGUCUAUAUAAUUACUCGUGUGUAAAUUUUAACAAAAACUAUUUAGACACACAAAGUUGACUACGUUGUUAACACACUCUCUAAUGUAGUCCUAUAUAUAACAGUUCGGCCUAUCUCUAUUGGAGAAUGUGUAUAAAAUAGCAUUACUAAAUGUUUAAAACCUUAGUCCCCUAUCUUUUCUGAAACCUUCACAUGCUAAUAUCUUUUUCCUUUUGUGAAUGAAUGUAGUUUGGAGAUAUGGUACAACCAAGGGCUAACACUAAUAUCAGGGCUCCUCCCCAACCCUACAAUCUCACUAGACUCCAUUUCUAUUUGGUUAGUAUGGAUUUUCUUUUUUUUUUUUUUUUUUUUUUUUUGGUUAACUGAGAACUUCAUUACCAGUUUAAUUAUUUCAUGAGUUAUUUAACCAUGAUUGCUAUUAUUAUAUCUAACUUUUACAUGUUCUUAUAUGAUGAACAAUUCCAGCAUGAACUACUGGAACUUCAGUUUGCAAUUUAUGUUAGGCCUAAGCGCAGCGGCCAGGUUUGUGACAAAAAAAAAAGCAGCUCAUAAGAAUUCAAAAUUUUCCUUUACAGGUCCAAUAAUUGGAAGUGAUCUAAUCAUAAUAAGAUGACUUGGCUUAUGCAGUGUCCGAGUCAGUAACGAGUUAGGGGCUGGUCAUCCAAGGGUGGCGAAAUUUUCAGUGUUUGUAGUGAACGGAACAAGCAUCCUGAUUAGUAUAAUCUUCAGUGCGAUUAUAUUAAUAUUCCGAGUUGGACUUAGCAAGCUAUUUACAAGUGAUGCUGAUGUUGUUGAGGCGGUGUUGGAUUUAACUCCAUUACUAGUUGUUUCCGUUUUCUUGAAUGGCAUUCAACCAAUACUCUCAGGUAUUGAUAUAUGAUAGAAGAGCAGUGCAGAUGAACAAACCAGGUCCUCUCAUACAAAUGUUUACAAUCAUUUCUAAUUUCAUAUGUGUGGAAUUUAGGUGUGGCAAUUGGAAGCGGAUGGCAAGAUGUCGUGGCUUAUGUCAACCUCGUUUGUUACUAUAUAAUUGGUUUUCCAGUUGGAUGUCUUCUUGGCUUCAAAGCUAGUAUGGGAGUCGCGGUAAGUUCACUUGCUCCCCCACUCAUUCCGUACAGUUGUUACUUUGUGAGGAAUGCUGAUGGAACCUGAUGCAUUUUGGCCUUUUUUUCAGGGGAUUUGGUGGGGGAUGCUUAUCGGAGUUUUUUUACAAACAGUAGUUCUAAUUGUUCUAACUGCCAGAACAAAUUGGGAUGCCGAGGUGAUUUAACUUUGAUGAAAGUAACUAUACAUAGCAGGCAUGAAUCGCAUUUGGUCAGGUCGUUAUCAAUGAAUUUUAUCAUGGUUUUUUGUAGGUUCUAAAAGCCGCUGAUCGCUUGGACAAGUCUGCAAAUGAAGAAAACACAGACAUGGUGGUCUCCGAGCGCGUAAGCCCAAGGCCAUGAAAGUGUGUCAAACUCAUUUAAUUAAGCAGGUUUUCAAGUGGUGAAUUGGAAUGCAACUCUAAAGGAAAAAAAAGGUGUCAUCAAAUAGCAACCAUCUCUAUUACAGUCUAACCUUUCGACAUUGUGAAGGCAAAAGCUGGAGAUGGGCAGUGGGAUGUUGCUUCAUUUGAUGUUCAACGACAACUUUUGAAUUUCUUAGUUUUUCUUGGUUAUAUACGUAAUAAUAAAUCCAUAAUUUUUAAUUUUUUUUCCCUAGUUUGAUUUUAGUUUAAAACUACACAGUUUUAUCCAGACUCGCCUGAACGAUCAAGGUGGGAAUUGUCAAUUAAUUGUAUUAAUAAUCUGUGCAAUAUUAAAUCAAAUAUUUUGCUUCUGUAGCUUGACAUAAUUGCUUAUGUAGUUUGCCCUUGUAAUUAUGCCGCAGUUGUAGUAGUUCUAACUGAAUCAGUGUCCACUUCUCCUACAAAUCAUUAUUUGCAAAUUGCUUUGUAGUUUUAUUUUAUUUUUUAUUUUGCGGGGGGGGGGGGGGUUUAUUAUUUUUCAGUUCUUCUUUUGUUCUAGUAAUAUAUAUAUAUGCGAAUACGCAGGUAUCGUCCACCAUAGCUUAUAGUACAAAGAAUAUUUUAAUCAACAACUGGUUAUUUGUAUAAAUUGAGGGUAUUUCUGACUAUUUAAGUGAGAUUUUGGAUAUAAUUGAAUAUUUUUUUAAUAUAAAAAAAAUGAUAUUUUAGAAAUUAAAAGCUAAUUUUUUGCUAUUAUUGAUAAAUUUCCAAAAAAAACAGUGUGAGUGUUUGGUAAACUUUUAUUACAAGUACUUUGACUACGUAAAAUGACUGAAAAGGACAACGAUGUUAGGUAUGCUGUUGAUUUUAUAAUUUGACAAAAUAAUUGUAGAGAUAACUCAAAUUAUAAAUAAUUAUUAGAGAAAUUUGCACAAACAUCACCCAAGUAUGCAUUAGGGUGUUUACAUUUACCAGUUAAUUUCUUUUUUCAAUUCGCAGCUAGUCUCUGGUGCUAAUUUAUACUUUCUUACGAGUUUUUUUUCCUUUAAUAUUAAAAAAAAAAAAAAAGGAGAAACUGUUUGCUCAUCCCUGAUUCCUUCUGCAACAAUGAUGGCCUCUCGUCCCCCACACUCACACAACACCACCAUUAAAUUUCAUAAAAUCCAGACCAAUCCCAUGCCCAGGAAAAAGUGUUGACCAUUCUAUCCCAACACCGAUCUCUGCCUUGCCCCCAUCACCUUACAUCCAUCAUUCCAAUUUAAAUUAAACAAAUGACUGAAAUCAAUCCAAUCUGUUACAAAGAGUAUUGGAGAUUUGAAGGCUAAUAAAUGCAUAGUCUGAGUCGAGAAAAUCAUAUUCGACCUAUGCAGCCAUUUGGUAUAAUACAGGAGAUUUCUGCUGCCUUGUCUACGAGCUGGAAGGGAGAGAGCUAGCUGGAUACAAGAGUGCGAGUUGUGAAUGGUGCAAAUUAGGGCUGAUUCGUUUCGCGAGGACAAAGAACAAAGACAAUAGGAAGAAAAAGGAGGGUAGAGUUGUCGUUUAGAAAGUUUCAUUAAUGCGCACUAUUCACUCCGUCACCUCCCAAAAAAAGCGCUCGUUUUAAAAGCGUGAUCUCACCUGUUUUCUAAGGUUUUUGAUCCAUGAUUUUUAAAACAUAAUUAAUUCUCUUAAGGGAAUUUUUAUAAAAAUGGUUUGUGCUAAGUGUAUUUUAACAAAAAAUCAUGCUAUAAUUUUUUUUAAUGAAAAGAUUUAAAUUUUAAUGAAAAACUCUUAAAUUUUAAUAAAAAGAACAAAAGAAAUUAAAUUUUUAUGAAAAAAACAUAAUUAUUGAUAUGAAUUGAUGAAUAGAAUUGUUGAUUAUUGAUGAAUUGAAUUCUUGAUUCUUGAUUAUUGAAUUAUUUAUAUAAUUAGUUAUAUUGAUUAAUUGAAUUUUUGUUUAUUGGAUAACUUAUAUAAUUAUUGGUAUUGAUUAAUUAAAUUGUUGGUUUAAUUUGUUAUUAGUCAUAUAGUAUACUCUACUCUAGGAUUAAGAGUCUAAAACUUUUUCUUCUCAUUAUACAGUUAUUUAAUGAAACGAUACUAUGAGAAACAAUUCUUAAAUCUUCCUUCAAAUAUUCUGGUAGUGAUCCUUUGAAUAUUCAAGGUAGUCCUUCUUCGAAUAUUCGGGGUACGUAGUUCACAACAAAAUGAGAUUGAAUGAAAUAUUGACUAGUCUUUCUGCAGACCCUAGGCAUAGAUGUUGAAUGCUUAAUUAACCACCUAAUUAUCGCGAAUCAAUUCAUAGACACUAUCUUCAAAAUGAUCAUUGUCAACCUAAAUUCUACAUCAUGCCAAAAAAAGUUAGUGACAAUCGAUGUUUUAUGUUCCUCUGUCAUUGAAAUGCAGAUAUUGAUGAAUGCAAAGAUCCAAAUAGAUGCGGUUUCGGCAACAUCUGUAACAAUAUACGAUUGUGUCGUUUGAACCCCUUCACCUGCAUGACCAUCACGGGUUAAUGUGGCCGUCACUGUGUUGCUCUCUUCAAAUCCAAAAAAAAAAAGAAAAGAUAACCCGUGAUUAUGGCAGCUGGUAUUAGCAUUUCUAGUGUUGCUCCUCCAUUACACAAAACUUUUUUUGUUUCAAACCAUCCCUGCAUUACUUAGUGUUGGAAUUCAUUAGGUUUAUUUAGGAAAUUAAUUAGAGAUUUGAUUUGAUUUUGUAAUAGGGUAUUUUUGGCAUUUAAGCAUUAGGGUUUCUUAGGUUUAUUGCUCUAUAAAUAGAGCUUGUAAUUUAGUUUGAGAACAAGUAAUUCACAAUGUAGCCUCUUAGGGUUUUGUAGCCGUUUCGGCAUUCUCGUUCGUUUAAUAAUAUUCUUAUUAUUUUGUUAGUCUUGUUUGUUGCGCACUCUGAUAUUCAACUUGGUAUCAGAGCAGGUUUGAUCCUUCGGGAUUUAAUCUGCUUCUGUUUGCUCGUAUCAGUUUGAUAUCAUUUUGCUGUCCUGUCUAGUUUAGGUUCGUGAAAAUUGUUUUUUUUCUGGUUUGGUUUUGGGAUCUUGUUUCUGCCUUGAUUGGUUUAGACUGUUUAUUUGUGGGUAGUUUGAUAUAAAAAAAAAAAAAAAGUAAAACUAGAGUCUCGCCGCCGCAUGCUGCAUGGAGACCCAUCCGUCUCACCGCCUGUGUGGAAUCUGCAUCAGAACCAUAACAUGCACCACCAUCUCCGCUGCUACAUCCAUUGGUCCACGAUCAACCAGCCCUUCCCGCACCAGACCUGCCGCACACCACCGUUGAUGCUCGACCUGAGAACACCAAACUCGGAUCGAGUUCGUCCUCGCCUUGUACUCCGCUGCUCUGAUUGCAUCUCACCAGCCACCUCACCACAUCGUUUCCUGCACUGUAUCCGCACCCCCUGCACCUCGCGCGUUUUGCACUAGAGUUCCUGCGCAUGUUUGCACAGAAAGGGAAAGGAGGAAGAUGGGGAAAAGAAGAAGAAAAGAAAAAAAAGGAAGCCCCACACGGGCAAGGAAAAAAAAAAGCUUUUAGUUAGAAGUUUUGGGGCCCACGUAUUGUUGUUUUUGGGCUUGUAUCUCUAGCUUGUUGUUGCCUUCUACAAUGAUCAUUCGAGUGCUUGGAUUGGUAACCACUCGAAUGACGUUGUGUACAUGGUGAAUUGGAAUUUUUGCUUGUUUGUUUAGGUUUGUUCGGAAGUUGGAAACCUUGCACUGGCAUUGGCAUGGAAAUCUUGCAUUGGCACUGGCAUGGAAUCUUGCACUGGCACUGACAUGGAAAUCUUGCACUGGCACUGGCAUUGGAAUUUGGAAUCUUGCACUUGCACCGAUAGAAUUUCGUAUUGAAAUUGGCAUCGGAAGUUAGCAUAACAAAGCUUGCAUCCACAUCAUCUGUUGGCAAACUCAUGUCGUAUACCGCCAUGAGUUUGACGGGGGGUGUUGGAAUUCAUUAGGUUUAUUUAGGAAAUUAAUUAGAGAUUUGAUUUGAUUUUGUAAUAGGGUAUUUUUGGCAUUUAAGCAUUAGGGUUUCUUAGGUUUAUUGCUCUAUAAAUAGAGCUUGUAAUUUAGUUUGAGAACAAGUAAUUCACAAUGUAGCCUCUUAGGGUUUUGUAGCCGUUUCGGCAUUCUCGUUCGUUUAAUAAUAUUCUUAUUAUUUUGUUAGUCUUGUUUGUUGCGCACUCUGAUAUUCAACUCUUAGAUUAUAUAUAAGAAGGAACAAUAAUAUCUGACCAACUGAAUUUUUUUCUUCCAAUUGAGCUAUUCAGUUACCAGCUGCAUUGUUGGCCUACUGUUUAUACACACUGGCGCAUGAUGGUCUCACAAAGUCAAGAUGAAAAGGAAAGACACCAACCGCAAGCAGAAGUUUUCUAAACGAAAUGGCGUUUUCUUGUUGGGGCAGCAAUUAUCUUCCGCUGAAGCUAACGUUGAUAAAAAUAAAUUGUUCAGUAAGGAGGAGCUAGAAAACACCAGGGACCAUUUCAGCGUAGAGAGAAUUCUUGGUCAGGGAGGCCAGGGUACCGUAUACAAAGGAAUGUUAGCAAAUGGGAGAACUGUUGCUGUAAAUAAGUCGAAAAGUGUAGUUAUUGGAGACGAAGUGAGACAAUUCAUCAAUGAAAUUGUAUUCUGUCACAAGUUAUUGACAGGAAUGGGGUUAAAUUACUGGGUUGCUGUUUGGAGACUGAAGUACCCCUUUUGGUUUACGAGUUUAUAAACAAUGGAACUCUCUCUCAUUAUAUUCAGCACC